AUGACUUUGAAGUUCAACCAAUACAAAUAUCUGAUAAAACACACUUUCAAAUAUACAAACAUAACUAGACCUAUCCGGAACGCAUUAGACAUUCUCUCCGCGUGAGAGGUUUUCCCUUUUUUACAAUGAGGGUUCCUUCUCGCCUGUGUGCGCAGUAGUUUCCCAGUCCUUCAUCCCCCUCAGCCGCCGGCCCUAGCUGAGGCUAGAGUCGGUGGCUCUCUUCUUCCCCUAGUUCAUUUUUCUUUUUCUAGUUGUUAGCUUCUUUCCCUGCGCUUUCCGCUGGGCAUCUCCCUGUGUUUUCAAUUCCCAAUCCUCACCUAUCAAAUUUGACUCCCUUUCCCCCGUUCAAAACCUAAUCCAUCAGUUUCGAUCCCCUUUCCCAUCCUCCACCUUCAUGUUUUUACUCCUGUCUCUUCCUAUCUUUCCCUCCACCCCACAUAUCUGCAGUCACUUUCCUUCAACGCGUUUUGACGCGAUUCACUCGGGAAGUGCGUAGAGUUCCGGCGCAGGGGUUUACACCACCACCUUCGGGAAGUGCGUUUUGCUCCGGCUCGGGUGUUCACACCACCGCCUCCCACGGAUUUGUCUUCGGUGGCUUUUUUUUCCUUCGGUGACUUUGUUGCUGGUGGGUUAUUUCUCACUAGCUUUCUUUGGUUUGUGGUUGCUGUGCCGUUCUAUGUGGUGCUUUGUGGUUGUUGUUGAAGUCGUUGUUUCUAUCAUUUUUGCGGAUUUGGAUGGCUGGUUUUAUGUUUCCUGGCGAUGCUUCGGCGGCGGCAGCUCUUCCAGGAUUGUAGGUUUUUUUGUUUCUUGGGCUCGAAACUUUGUUUUGGGGGUCCAUAUUGGGCCUCUUCUGUUGUAAUUAAGCUGGGUUGGAAAUAAAUUUGACAAAAAAAAAACCUACUCCUUGGAUAAGGAUUGCACUGCCAACUGAAGAGUCCAAAUGUGAGAUGAAUUCUCGUUGAGUCUGACUAGGUCUAACAGUAGCUUCUCUGGUUCCCAAUUUCCUAAUGGGUAUAAUUACAGGAGCUGGAAUCAUGGUAAUGAGAUACAUUUAUGGCGCGUUUACUAAUCCGUAAUCAGAUUGAGAGGAAUUGAAUUGAGAAUGAAUUGGAUUGAGGAGGAAUUGGAAUGAGGUGGAAUCAGAAUUAGAUUUAUGUUAAAGUUGUUUACCAAAACUGACUGAAAUCGGAGUAUAAAUGACAUUGAUCGAUAUAAGCGGUUUACUAAUUCAUAAGAAUCGGAAUAAAGCUUAAUGUAAUUACUAAAGUACCCCUGUUUAACUAAUAUAUUUAUAUGCUAAUUAUUUUUAGUAAAACUUUUACUCUUCCAUUUUUUUAAUUUUUUAGAAAGAAUAAUUUUUUUUUAUUUUUUAGUAAAACUCUUGGCACAAAUUUAAUAUGAAAGAAUAUUUUUUAUUUGCUUCUACAUGUUAAAGAAGACUCUUAAUCACCCUAAACUUUAUUAAAAAUAUCAACAUAAAGUAAACUUCAUAACAAUUACUUCCUCUUCUCUCUCUCCCUCUCCCCAAUCUUUCUUAGCAGCUGUGUCUCCUCCCUCCUCUCCUCCCCCAUCCUCUUCUCUCUCACCCACUGGGGCAACCCCAAGAGAUGCCGAUGAAAGAGCCCACCUCGGAUACGGAAGGAAGGUAUGGAGAUUGUGCUGCUAGAACCAAGGUGCGAAGCACCGAACCAAAGCCGAAUAACUCCCUCCCCCCAAUCUUUCUUAGCCAGCCGUCUCUCCUCCCUCCUCUCCUCCCCCAUCCUCUUCUCUCUCACCCUCCACCGCCUCAACUCUCCCCCACACCCACAAGAUUGUCCUCAUCGCCAACCACGUUAUGCUCCCCCUCUUAUUAUGCGAAGUAGAUCAGCACAACCCGCAAGGGCUGCAAAUCAGUUAUUCGCCACCAACGGCAACCCAUUCCACCAUCUCAGUCUUCGAAGCCCAUCCGGGCACAAAAUCAUCCAGAACCUUGAAGGGGUAGGUAGGAGAUACGGGGGUAGUUUGGGUAUAAAGGUUGGAUUCCUGAAGAGUCUUCUCCCCGGAAUCCAAAUACCACCUCUAUCUGGGGGAUCCAAUUCCGGAAGAUUAAGGAAAUCGAUUCCGGAUUUUAAGUGAGUCCCACUUACUUUUUCAUUCCCUAAAGGUUAGUAAAUGUGAGAAUGCGAUUCCUUUUCUUUUCAUUCCAUUCCUGAUUGGGAAUACGCCAUUAAAUAUUAGGAAAACUAAUGAAAUGGUUUGAAAAUUUUGAGUUUUAAUGAUAAGGCCAAAAUAAAGGGUAAAGUGAAUUGUACAUUAUUGACUUUUUAGUGUAAAAAUGUGAUUUUUCGUUAAAAUGAACAUGAGCUUUUCGUUAAAAUUCCCUUAAAUAUUUGAUAAGCUUCCUUUUCUCUUUCCCAUCAUGUAUAUCGUUCCCGGUGUCUCCUCAAUUAAAUGGUUGUGCAUGCAGAGCAUCUUGAUGAUGACCUCGGGUUUCUUGCUUGCUACCAGAUCGUUCCUGGUGUCAUCUUGUCCUAGAUUUGAUUUGGAGCAUGAGACUAGAGAAGAGGAAGAAAGGUAAAUAGUCGGCGUUCACUUUAAGAAAUAGUCGAUGUUUAUUUUUUAUGUUGGGCUUCUCCUUAUGAUUCUGCAAAUUUCUCAUGACUCAACAGGAGCAUGAUUCGCGAAAGUGAGUACGUUGAAUUUACCUCCUCCGCAGCACAAAGUUUACCCGAACAACUUGUUUGAGGAUAAGGAGGUCCCUCAGGAAGCAACAACAUGAAAAAUUAAAGCUUGAGGAAUGGGAGAGCCGGAGGACUCGGAAUCAGAUUUACCCUUUGUUGUUACAUAAGGAGUGGCUUAGGCAAUCAUUCAAGGAUUUACCUCCCCCGCUGAGCGAUGGUUAUCCAAAGAACCUAGGAACAAACCUCAAUGGCUGGUAUGCUUUUGCAUUUGGUUUGUUGUUGUACUUUGAGAUAUUAGAUCCCUGUAGUUUUUCGUAAACAUGAAAUAAUAUAAAUGGCAUUCACAUGCACACAGUUAUCAUAUAAACACAUACCAAUGUUAGCAAGAGAUACUAGCUUAGGCGCUCAAUCUGUCACUGUUUUUUCGUCAAACCACAUAUCCACCAUUUUAAUUUGCUUGUACUUGUGCAUUUUCAAGGCUGUUUUUUUCCAUCCAAUUAUGAAAUUGCCAUUGAAAGUUCAUAUUUCCUGCGAUGUCACAAUCAAACAUUUCAUCCUCACUUACAAGUUCUUGCAUGAGUUUGGAAGUUUUACUUUCUAAAAGUCUUUUUAUUUAUUUAUUUAUUUAUUUUAUAUGUUGUAUGUUGUGAUUCUCCUUAUGAUUCUACAAAUUUCCCUUGAACUGCUGUCAUGAGGAAGAGAUGAAAGAAAGAAUGCUUAAAGUAGCUUUGAGACCCCAGGUAGGCCAAGCAUAUUUGAAGAAAGUGACUGAAUUUGUGAUGACGGAAUCCAAAAACAGAGAGGCAGAAGUGGUUUUGGAAGGUCUUUUGGAUGCAAUGGAUUGGUAUUCUGACAAUCAACAAGAGACUGCCAGAUCAGCCCUUCAUGUGGUAAUGCAGAACUUAAUGUUGCAUAAGAAGCUUGAGAAAUGGGGAGAGCUAGAAGACUUCGAGUCCUUAUAGGAUUCGGAAUCAGAUUGACCGCCUUGAUGUUGCAUAAGAAGUGGCUUAGGCAAUCAUUCAAGGAUUUACCUCCCCCGCUGAGGCAAGAGUUGGUGAAUCGGGAGGAGGAGCUGAAAGGAAGACAAAUGUUAAAGCUCAAAGAAGUGACAUCUCCUUUAACAACCUAGAUGACUGAGAAGACAAAUGUGUCUGAAGUUAUAGACACUAUGAAACAGCUUGUUAAGAACGCUAAAUUAGCUGAUGUUGAAGUUGUGGGAAAUAGUAUUAGAGCAGGCGCAGAAAGCCAGCGAAGUUAUUCGCCAAGUAUACGAUUUCAACUUAUUAGUUUGUCUUCAUUCUUAUGCCUUAAUAUUUCUAAGUUUGGUCCUUGUACUUUGAGAUAUUGGAUCCCUAUAGUUUUCCGUAAACAUUAAAAAAUAUAAAUGUCAUUCACAUGCACACAGUGAUCAUAUAAACACAAACCAAUGCUAGCAAGACUUUGAGAAAGUAAAACUUCCAAACUCCUAUGCAAGAACUUUUCAAUAAGGAUGAAAUGUUUGAUUGUGACAUCGCAUGAAAUAUGAACUUUCAGUGGCAAUUUCAUAAUUGGAUGGAAAAACGUACAAGCAAAUUAAAAUGGUGGACAUGUGGUUUGACAAACAUCCAGUGACAGAUUAAGGGUCUGAGCUAGUAGCAUUGGUUUGUGUUUAUAUGAUCACUGUGUGCAUGUGAAUGCCUUUUAUAUUUUUUAAUGUUUACUGAAAACUAUAGGGAUCUAAUAUCCCAAAGUACAAGGACCAAACUUGGAAAUACUAAGGUAUAAGAAUGAAGACAAACUAAUAAGUUGAAAAACUUGGCGAGUAACUUCGCUGGCUUUCCGCGCCUGCUCUAAUACUAUUUCCCAUAACUUCAACAUCAGCUAAUUUGACAUUCUUAAUAAGCUGUUUCAUAGUGUCUAUAACUUCAGACACAUUUGUCUUCUCAGUCAUCUAGGUUGUUAAAGGAGAUGUCACUUUCUUGAGCUUUAACAUUUGUCUUCCUUUCAGCUCCUCCUCCCGAUUCAUCAACGCUUGCCUCAGUGGGGGAGGUAAAUCCUUGAAUGAUUGACUAAGCCACUUCUUAUGCAACAUCAAGAGGGUCAAUCUGAUUCCGAAUCCUACAAGGACUCGGAGUCUUCCAGCUCUCCCCAUUUCUCAAGCUUCCUCAAGAACAACUUGUUUUUUCUUGUCAAUUUGUAUGCAUAGAAAGCGGCCAGCAAAAUAAGAAUCAGAGAUGAGAGCCAACCACCGCUUGCACACACGCUUAUUUCGACGAGCGUAUUUGUAAGGAAGUCGGCAAAGGAUUUCAACCAAUACGCCAUCAGGCAGAUUAUUGAUGAGGAAUUUUGAUGACAACUGCUCAUCAGAUUCAGAAGAUCCCAUGGCCGCAGCCGCAAGAAUUGACGACCAACUGCAAUUCUAAUAUGCAACCCAACACUGAAUCUCUCCUACUUACAUGCAGCGAAUCCGAAACCUAAUAGAAAUAGGAAAUCUAUAAAAGUUCUAAUAAGAAUCCAACAGUGAAUAUGUCCUACUUAUUUAUAUCCGUUUUAGUAAUUUUCAUUAAAUCUGACCAAAAUAUAUAAAAGAUUGGGGUGUAUUCAAUUAGGAUUUUGAGAGAUUUUAAUUCUAUUAAUGAAUAUAAGGGUAUUCAAUCAGGAUUUUAAGUGAUAAUCUGAAAUUUAAGGUGUAUUCGAUUAGAAUUUUAAGAUAGUUUAUUAAAAUUCUUAGAAAUCCGAGUGUAUUCAAUUAUGAUUUUAAAGAAGUUUAUAACAUUUCAGGUGUAUUCAAUUAGAAAUUGAUUUUAAAUAAUUUGAGAAAGUUGAGGAAUUAGAGGGAAUUGGAGAGAUUUCGUAGUAUAAUUUAAGCAUUCACAAAUCUCACCUCUCCCCAUGAGAUUUCGAGGGAAUUGAAUCAAAAUUUUAUAUGAAAUCUCUACAAAUCAAAACUCCAUAAAAAUCCAUAAAUUUAUAAAUUCAUUAAAGUAUCUCAAAUUCUCAAUUAAAUACACUCUCCAAAAUAUAUAUGAGAAAAUACAUGUGGCAGAAAAUGAGACGUCCUCAUUGAGGCCCACGGACAACUGUUUGUAUAAAACGGUGCCAACAAGGUGAGACACGAGAGUAACAACAUUUAUUAUUUGGGAUGUGAUAUUCACACAUUUUAUUUUACUUUUCACAUACUUUUUUAAUUUUCGGCAUUCAGAUUAGAUGAAUUGAAGAAGAUCAACGGACGUAAAUUAUCAAAGAUGUGUGAGAAGUAAAAUGGGGUGUGUGGAUAGCACACCCACCCCUAUUAUUAAACUAACUCCAGUGGAAUUACAAAAUCCCUCUUUUUUCCACUUUUGUUAAUUUAUUUCUUGCCAAUAUUAUCCUCGUUUCCAAAGAUUUCCAUAUGCAUCUCAUCGUAUGUUUGUAAUUUUUUAGCUAAUACAUUCAGAGUCAAAUCCAACAUCUUGACAACGCAUGUAGAUGUUUAACAAGAGUGAAAAAAAGGAGUUCGUGGAUAGUCGAACUUGAUAUCUUGAUUAAAAAGUGAACCACCGGUUUCAAAAGUUGAGCACCUUCCAAAUAAGCAUGUGCGGCAAAUAGGGCUAUAGUCGUUCAAAUUGACUGGGAACACAAUUUAAACACGUACGCCCAAUUUUUCAAGAUGCGACUGUGCUAGUAGGGUUAGGAUUUGGGCGGUGGGUAAAGGUUGAGAUUACUAGCUUAGCGACAUGAAAUCCAAAUUAUCCUACCCAAAUUAUCUGAGACAAUUAACCGGACCCCACGGCAAAAUUACACCAUGUAGGGUUUCUUCCCUCAUUUGCGCAUUCACACAUCACAUCGAUGUUAACCACACUCAGUGAUAAGAAGAUUUUUUUUAUAAAAAAAAAAGCCAUGUGUUCAAUGUGGGUCCACCAAGAGUUUUAUAUUUGGACUACCAGUCAAACGGGAUCUUCAUGCAUGGAACCAAAUCUCCUCCGGAUCCAAAGAAAUUGAGCUCACUAAUCAAUGCAUCCGAACCAUUGAAAUUUGAUUCAACGGCUAAAAAUAGGAGCCCCUCUAAAAGUUAUAAUAAUUGUAAUUGUUAGAUCAAAUUUCAAUAGUCCGGAUUCGUUAAUUAGUGGGCUCAGUUCCCUUAGAUCCAUAAGGGAUCCGGUUCGUUCAUGCAUGACUGAACUUCUUGUUCUUUCCUUUGUAACUCGCCAUGAAAGGUUGCUGAGAUAUGAGAAGGGGAAGACGGGGAUAAGUAGAAUUUGUAGGCUAGGGUUAGGGUUUAGGAAGCGGUGCACAUGAGAGAAAACCCUUAUAUGUAUUUGUUGACCCUAAAAACUAACAAGCCUACGUGGUGCGCAAGCCGAGUAAUUAAUGAGCUAACUACGUAUUUCGGUUGUAUGUGGGCAUGCCAACUUGUCGUGACACACCCCGACCAAGAUCAAGGCAUGCUGGCCGUCACAUAAGAGUGACGUAGCCAUGUGCAUAGUGCGGAAGCAAUAGAGAUAAGAAAUAUACGAAUAAUUAAAACUGAAUUACUAGAGUGCACUACUAAACAGGAAGUCAUAGGAGUUAGUUACAACAGUAAACACUUCUAAUCAGAGCAUAAUAAGUCUAUGUGCAGUCCAGUAGGACAAGUACUAGUUAUACAGUACCAAGAAUGUCCUACUAUUAUUUAGGUAGGACAGAACUGCCGACGUCCUCAAGCCACCAACAGCAAGCUUACUUAAAACCUGAAGGGGUGCAAAACAGCAAAUGUGAGUGGGCGAAAACAAAUGUUUUACAAAACAUUUCAUUUAUCAAUAUACUAACCCUUCGCUUUAAAACAUGUAUAAUUUUUCCCAGAAUCAAGAUAUAAACAUAUACAUAAUAUAUAUAUAUAUAUAUAUGAGAUCAUAUCAAUUCAAUUCAUGUUUCACAUAAUUAUAUUCAAAUGUAUGCCAUGCCAAGAUAUAACAGAGUAAACAAUUCAUGUAAGAAUAAUUUCAUAAAAAUACGAUAUGUUAGUCGGAACCCCUAAGGUAGUCUGUACGGCUGAUUUCAUAGCUCAAAGUUACUCUAGCCGGAGUCACUAUAAUGAUCUAUAUGGCAACAUACUGCACAUAAGUCGGAACCACUAAAAAAGGGUUUGUACGACAAGAUUGGGUGUAAUAUAAUUAUGCUCAAUUUUACUCUCUCAUAAUAUAAAUCGCUAGUCACCUACGAGUCAGAACCAUUAAAAAGGUCUGUACGACAAGACUGUGCACUUAAGUUGGAUCCAAAAUGAGCAUAUAGUGCAAGAGGUGACGUAAAUAAACAGGCAUGUACUUCAUAUCUCUGGCUAAAUCACAAUCACCCUAGGUAUGAGCUCAACAUUAUUCAAGCACAUAUCACAUCAUCGAUGAUUCACAUAACCAAACAUAACUUACCUGAACUUACCUGUGCCUCCACAACAUCACAUUUAUAUAUAUAUAUAUAUAUAUAUAUGUGCAAUCAUGAAAUGCAUAUUCAGAAUAUAAAAGUAUUUGGCAUAUUAUUUCAAAGCAUACUUUCCUUAAAAAUGCAUUUCUGGGAAAUAUAUCAAGUAUAUAAAUAUAUACUGAAAACAAAAGCCCACUCACUGGUAUGUCGAAGGGUCGUAGCCCCCGAGUCGCCUGUGGAUAUGUUCGUUCUUGGGAUAAGCCUCACCUAUAUGUGAAUUAACUAUAAAAACGUUAUUUUAAAGCAUAUAGGUAAAACUAGCUAAUAACUUCUCAUGCAAAGCUCAAAAUGGGUAUAUGAAUAUACCACAGUGACCUACACAACUUCAGGAACAUCCCCAUAUUUUUAGAUUAAUUUUUGGACCCUUCACGCGCGGCCACGCGCCGGCGAGCGCACAGUAAAACGUGCGGCCACGCGCAGGGAAUCCUGACGGAUUCCCUAACUGCCGUUAGGAAUAUUCCAUUAAGUCCAACGGUAACCGUCCAAACUAAUUGACGGAAUAUUCCCCUUUCUUCUCUGGUGAGUCGCCGGUCGCCGACGACUUUGCCGGUUUCUGGGUAAAACUUUAAAAUCACUAUUCUCCUUUGAUUCUUCACCAUUUUUCAUGAAAUUGGUACCAAAAUGAAGCUAAUAACAUGUAGAAUCACAUUAUACAAGUUUCAACGCUUAAAUUCUACUAGAUUUUUCCUAAGAAAGGUCGAUAGCUUGGCUUACCUAGAAACACAUCGAUCUCAGUCCUCCGACGUCCAAAUCCUUCCAACGAAGUACCUCUAGACUCGUGAGGACCUCCUUAAGCUUCCUAUGUUCUUAGAAUUCCUUGAAACACAAGGUUUUACGUGUGCAUGAACAAUGCACAAAAUCGGGGUUAGGGUUUCUCGGGUUUUCGAAACAUUCACGUCCAAACAAGGGUAUCAAUGUACUCAAAAGGUUACAAUGAGCAAGAACCUUACCUUUAAAGCUUCAAUCCGUGCCUGAAAGGGAAAGUUCAAAGCUUGUCCGUACGAAAGAGGGAAGAGAGAGAGUCCAAGAGAUGAGAGAGAGAGAGCACAGGAAUGAGAGAGAAGGUAGGUGGGUAUGUGUGGUCCAAAAGCCACCAAUCAUAACUAAGAGAAUACUUAGUUCUAAUUGGUUCCAAAAAAUAGAGGAAUAUAGCUAAUUGGUCCACACUCUUAAGUAUAACCCAUAGCAUCCAUAAUAAUUCUCAAUGUCCAAGGGUAAUUCCGUCAUUCCACAUUGUCGAAAAUUAUAUAUUUGAGACGGGCUGUGACACGUCGACCGACCUGGGCCGAGGAGUAAAAUAUAUUGAUGUUGCAUCGGAUGCGCUGCUGACUUCUCGAUCUUGCGAUUGUGGCCGAGGAAAGAACACGUAUCGGCCUUCGGGUUCUAGAGUCUGAAGACAAGGCUGUUAGUUCUACGAAGUUCACAAAUCGUCGGUGUCGAAUUUGGUCACGGUGAUUAUAUUCGUAAGAGUAUAAGUACGCCGAAUCGACACUAGACUAUAUGGACACAAGUAUUCAAAGCAAAUGUACCUUUUAAUAGUAAAUGUGGUUCGGCCGUCAGAAUGUCGAACUCUAAGUCCAACUUGUGAGUAUCCAAUCACAAAAUAACUCGGCGUUCAACGCACCAAGUCUAGUGAUUCGUAACACCUCACUUCGCCGAAAAUGAUCGUAAGAUGACCUCUGCCAACCGAGGCUUGGGUAGAAAACCAGUCGGCCUUGACGCAGUGCUGUUUAUCCAAACUGAAGGUGUUUCGCAGUCGACUGAUUCUACGUCGGCAGUGCUGUUUAUCCAAACUGAAGAUGUGUUGGCGAAAAAGAAACUAAAAAUCUCAAGGUUGUUGAGAGGUUUCGCGUAGAGCGAGGGUUUGCGCAUGGCAGUUUGUGUGUUGAGUUGGAGGGCCCUUUUCGUUGUUUGCCGCUUUGUAUUUAUAGCCAAGUUUCCUUGACCGCCAAUCCAAAAGAGUCCUUUCCCGACUAUACUCCAAAAAUAAUAUCAAAACAAUUGAUAUUAUCUUUAAUAUAUUUCGGCAAAAAUCUUCUUAGUCUCCUUAUGCUUGUAGACUUAUAUGCUUGUAGACUUAUACUAAAGGAGCAACAAAUGUCCUGUUGAAACCCUUUCACAUGGCAUGCAUACUGUGAUUCCAUCAUCAAUUCUUAUCACUUUAAACUCAUUUGACAACACCCAUCACCAUGCAAAAAGGCCUAGCCUACCUAGGUUUCCUACCACAUCAUCACAUCACCAAAAAAAAAAAAAAAAAAAACCUAGCUUUCCUAGGCUCUCAUCAUCACCCUAAGCCAUCAUCUUUUACCAAAAAUGUCGCAUGCAUCUUGAAUGCUGAUGUUCGUUUUUAAUUAUCACCAUAUUUUAAAUGGAUAAUAUCCUGACAUGCAUGCUUCAUUAUCUGAUGCCGUGUAUAUCUGUCAACCAAAAUUGAUCUAAACCACAUAUCCACAUCCAUAUCAAUUUGAAUUGUGCCGCAUGUUUCCAGCUUGGAGAUAUAUUAUUUCCAUAAGAAAAUGUCAAGAUAAAUCAUUAUUAAAAGAUAAUCAUGAUAAAAGAAACCAUAAUGUUAUCUUUUAACCUUACUAAAAUUAUCUUCACUUUUCCAUCGACAGUGUGGAGGUAUGCUUACUCAACGGUCUUGAUUACUCGGGGCCGAUGGUGUAAUUUUAGGUCCAAACACUAUCAAACUGUAAUUAGUAUGUAAAAAUACUUGACUGUGGCAUGUAGCUGAACAGUGUUGAUAAGUAAUCAUAUGAUUUGUAAUAUAAUACCAUCUAAAAACUAAGUGCUUUUGCAAUGAAGUUUUGGAGGCCAUAUAAGGUUUAAUAUUUGAGUCAUCUUACGCACAAAUAUUGAAGUUGUAUAAUGUAUACCAAGUCCAAAGAUUUUAAUUAUACCAAGAUGAAACCAAACCAACUUUCUAGUUUUGUAAAUCAAAGUGACGCUUCGGUUGCCCUUGCCGAUACGACUAAAAACUUGUGCCUCAAGACAAAACAUGACCAACCUUUUGUGCCCUUCUGUUUUUUUCUGUUUUGGGUCAAAUCUGUACUUUUUCUUUGUCAAUUGCCUCUCUGCACUUAAUUAUCUUUCCAUGCUUAGCUGACUGUCAACAUCUUCAUCAUCAUAACCAUAUACUUAAAAUUUCUCCACCUUCCAUUCCCAUGUCACAUACUCUUUGGUGAAAGAAAUGAGUACAUGUUUUUGGUUGAAUUGUCAUGACAUGUCGUUCAAAGUUUAUUCAUGUCAUAAGUCUUCUACCAUGCAUGGUAUGUGAAUUCAUUUUACGUGAUGUUACACCAUCUUUGUUAGGUCUCCUUACUAUAGAUCGAUGACAUAUCAAUUAUGUCAUUCAUUCAAGUUAUAUAUAACACAUGUAUCAAUAGCAUCACAUGCUGAUAUGAUCAUCACACGCUUCAAAUUAAUUUUUUCUAAAGUACUCUUGGAGUUCCCGAUUCCAUACAUAUUUUGGAAACUGAAAGCAAAUAUAAAAAACAAAGCACGCUGCAGUUGAUAUUUACAUGGAUGUUUGCAUUCCGCAAUAAGUACAAAGGGGAGAAAGAGAGAGAGAAGGGAGCUGAAGCUCUCCAACUGGGUUUGUCGAAGCCUUCAAAAGCUCCCUUCAUACAAAAGGUGGGACGAAGAGAUCGAACUAAACCCACCAAAGAAAAUAAACAAAACGAAAUCCCAGCGUUAAAAUUAACUUCAAAAUGAUCUAGGGAUCGGUUCACGUUAAAUGAGUGAUUUCCACAAGUCAUUUUUCUUUCGUCUGCACACUUUAGACUUAAACGACAAAAAUAAACAUAAAAUGUAGAACGAGAAAAUGUGUGCGUAAAAUCGCCUCCCCGCUCUAAAUGUUCUGUCAGAAAGGUCUGAACCUCUUGGAGCCAACAGAUGGAGGACUAAUCUGAGGAACCGUGAAGCCGUCAUCCAUCCACAUUCUUCUGUUGCUGGCCUUCAUGUUUGUACCCUCCUUUGUCUCUUCGAAGCCAACGAACCCACCGCCCAUCUGUGAAUAUUGAUACGGAGGUGCUUGUGAUGCCUGUGGGACCCACAUCCCCAUAUUUUCCGACGAGAAAGAGUUCAGAUUGCUUUCCGGAUAGGUUUCCGAAAACGACAGCAUCAUAUCAUUGUCGACCUGCCAUAACCAAUAAAACAAAAUGCAAAAUGUCAGAUCCAGCAGGCUAAUUAACUAAUUGAUGACAGAUUAACAAAACUCAAAGGAGAAGUGAUUUCUGCAAACUCAUUCUCUCUUAUCGUUGUUAGUAUGAAAUAAAUCAAACGAGAAUCAAGAGACUUGAAACAAACAGAAGUGUGCAGAAAUCAUUUUCCGACCCGUAUUUGGAAAUUUCAGAAAAAAAUAGGGAAGAACGAGAUCAAUCAAUGCAAACCUUAGAGAAACCAAACGGGGUAUUAGAAAAAUCAAGAAAAUCCUCAACAUGCCAGCCCGGAAGCGUCUCUAUCAAGUACUCGGAUAUGGUACUAGUCGCACCCACCAAAUUUCCACCGCCUUUGUCGAUUGCAGCGGUUGAAGUUGAAUUCUUGACAGAAAUAGGAGGUGGGUUUGGAUUUGAAAUUGCAGGGGAGGCGGCGGAAACAGAUUUCUUGGUUGAAGGUUGAUGCUUUUUGAGAUCGGUAGAGGCGGUUUCAGAACUAGCAGUUGCUACAGUUGGCCGCGGCGGCGAAGAUUUGUAGAGGGCGGAGGUGGCGGAGAGCUUAAUACCUGUAAGAAGAUAUCGGUUGUGCUUCCGGGUGUGCUCGUUGGCGUUGUGAAUUGGAAGGUCGCACUCCCUGCACAGAAUCGCUCUGUCCUGCUGGCAAAACAAGAAGGCUCUUCUCUCCUGUAGAUGAAGAUUAAGAAACCCAAAUCAGAAAAUCGAGCGACCAUUGUUUAGAGGGUAGAGCCGUAGAGGGAGGAUAUAUACAGUAGCAAUCGAGCGCUAACAAGUCAGUAAGCUAAUACAUACCUGACAGAUAUCGCAGACGGGGAACUCCUUAGACGAGGGGUGGACGAGAGAGAAACGGUGGUGCUUGGAAACGAGCUUAUUGGCGUGGUGGACACGGUGGUCGCAGGCGUCGCAGAGGGCGGCCUCGUCGGCAGUGCAGAACACCGAAGCGUCGUCCUUGUUACACACAUCACACUGGAUCUUCAUCAGUUCUGAACUUCCAGAACAGAAAGAGAAGCUAAAUCUAAGGGAAAUAGGUAAAGAGGAAAAGGAGGCAGUGGGAGUGGAGGCUCUUUAAAGAAAGCAGAGGAUACUUAAAAGAGAACAAAUAUGAGGAGAGUAAAAAGUACCGGCGAGUAAUAAAAUAUCGACAGGGAUACUGGGAAAUCUUGGGGAACUAUUUAUGGUCCUUUCUCUCUCUCCUCUCCCUUUCUCUCUCUAACUUUAACAGAGCGAGAAUGGUGGAGUGAGCGAGUAAAAGGAAGAUGCUGAGAGGUUAGAAGGGUUGGGAGGUGGUUGCUUUAUUAAAUGGUUUUGGUCAGUGAAUAUUUAACAAAUUACAGUUGCCCCAUUUAGCUGUGAAGUGAGAGUGGGAUAAAAGCUCCAUAUAAUUUGGGGUUCGUUUGUUUACUACUUUUAGGUUCCGGUUCAAUUGUUUUUCAUUUCCGGCUUUGGUAAUUGGUUCGUCUUUUGGGCAAGCGUGUGUGUGCGAGGAAGUGACGAAGUCGGGGUAGGGUUAGGGUUAGGGUUAUGGCAAAGACCAAUGCUAAUGUGACUAAUGUGAUAUUGUUUCAAAACUAAUAUGGCAAAAUUAAAAUACGUAGUAACUUGUGAUACUAUGUGCCACUAUUACAUUGACAUUUCUGUUUUGUAUGUGUUUUUUACGUACACGAGAUCAUUUUUAUACGAUCGAGUAUGAUUAAAACUAUAAAAUUUCAAAUUUUUGUGUAAAUCGCUGAAUGAAUCACGUCAUCAUGUUGUUGUACUCAAAUUUUUUCUCCCAACAAUGGUGCAAUUUUCUACUUUUACUUAUUUCUCAAAUUGCUCUUAAUCAAUCAAUAAAUAAUUGGUUCAUCAUGAAUUCCAAGUUGAGUAAUCACAUUUUAGUUUUUAUUUAGUCUUUUGAUUAUAGUAGUUAUAUGGGACCACCUUAUUAUACCCAUGCUGGCUCGACAUUGCAUCUGAUAUCAUGUGAUCUCCAAAUCUUGGAGGAGGGUUUUGUUUAUCUGAGCAAGACCUCGAACAGCUAUUACUUUCUCACCACUCCAACAAUAACAAUUAAACAUUAUCUUAUUAAGUAGAGUCGGCUAUAUGAAUCUUAUAACGUUUAUGCAUUCAAUUUUUCGUCAAUUCUGCUAUUAGCUCAAGUACUACUACCCCGCCACUCCACACACUAAAAAAAUUAAACGUGGAAAUUCAUUUAAAUUCAUCGAAGACUGAAUAUUAACAUGAAAUACAUACAUAGAUACAUUGUGGUGGUGGGACAACACAAGAUCGAGAAGAUAUCAUGUGAUCUUACGUCUUCUUCUUCUUAUGUCUUUGGUUAUUCGAAAAGGAAUAAGGAUCUUUCAUAUAUAUAGUUCAUACCCUUAUAUAAUUAGGGGUGGGUUCGGUUUAAUUCGGUUCGGUUUUUUGCCAAAACCGAAACCAAACCGAAAUUUCGGUUCGGUUCGGUUCGGUUCAUUUUUUUUUCAGUUUUUUUCGGUUCAGUUUCGGUUUUUUGUUUUUUUUUUCUUUCAAAAAAUGAAAAACAUUGAAAUUUUAACAUAUGCAACACAAUCAUAUAAUCAAAGACAAUGAAAAUAAAUAUUUAAAGUUGAACUAAAAUCAUCAAUCAAGUCUUCCAAAGUCCAAACUAACAACCUCACAACACAAAAAUCGUACAAAUGACUUAGAAAAGUUAAAUUGUAUGAUGUUGUUCAAAGAUCAGGGUUGUUUGCUUGUAACUGCAUGUUGACAACUUGAUUAGUAAAAGUAAUGCGUGGGUGGAUUUAUUUAGUAUGUGUUGGAUUCUUUUCCAUCACAAAUUCCCUAAGUAAUCUACCCGAAAUAAAUGUUUAUGGAUUCUGUUACAUGUUAUAUAAGAGUAGAUUUGGAAAAGAAAGCUGAGACAGAAGUAGACAGUGCUAUGGAGAUGGAUGUAGGUACUUCAGGAUGAGGUUUGACUCCGGAACCUUAUAUGGGGGAUAAAUAAUAGGUUAGGGUUUAAAGUUUUUAUAAGACUUUUUUUUAAUAUUUUGAGCUUAAAGUUUGGCAACACAUUGGGUUUAGCACAUUUUAACUUACAAAUUGGGUUUAGAAAAUAAUAUCCAAAACAAAUAAUUAAAUAAAAAAAUUAAUUUAAUUAAUUCGGUUCGGUUCGGUUUGGUUCGGUUUCUAGAUCACUAAAACCGAACCGAACCAAAAGAAUUCGGUUCGGUUCGGUUUUUUUGUUCGGUUCGGUUUUUUUCGGUUUCGGUUCGGUUUGGUUUUCGGUUUUUUUUCGGUUUUCGGUUUUUUGAACCCACCCCUAUAUAUAAUUGAUUGCGAAAGUGACCAAAUUGAAUGUGCUUUUCCUUUGAGGUUGGCAUGCAUGGAAUAUAUAUGGACAGAAUAAGCUCAGACAUGAAUAUUAAACUACUGAUUGAUAGCACUCUUCAAUAAGAUUGUGUUGGGUGUAUAGAUACUAAUAUCUAGUUAGAUAAGAUCACUAAAAUCGUCACUGAAGUUCCUAUUAACUAAAAACAUUUUCAACUAUUUUAAAAACAGUUCAAAAUGAGCACUUAUUGUGGUGCUACAAUAUUAUUUUAUUGUGAAGCACUAAACAAUAGAGGUCCAUUCCAUUAUGAAAGCUAACAACUUUUUAGUAAAUUGAUUAUAUUUUUUUAAUACAUACGAUAUUAUAUAUAUAUUAAGAGAUUGAUGAAUAAGCUAAAAUUCACAAUGAACUAACCAUAAUAAUUUAGUUUAAAUUCGUUUUUUGAAGAAAAUCAAACUUAAGACUUCUCACUUAAGUACAAAUGAAAAUGAAUAAAUACCAAACUAUAGCGCAAAGUAAAUAAAAAUAAAACAUGGCAAACAUCCACUCUAAAAGAUUUUUUAUGGUUAAAAAGAGGAGGAGGGUCGGAUUACAUAUUUAAAUGAAAUACAAUAUUAUUAGCCUAUUAGGGUUCUGGUAAGUGGAGUAUUAUACAAAACAUAUUUUAUAUUGCCACCAGAUCUAGAUUAUUGUUGAAGUUUCGAGCAAUAAGCGAAUCUCGAAUCCUCUAUUAUUAUUUUUUUAUCGGGAAUUAAGGAUCAUGGGACCGCUUCGCUCUUUAAAAUUGGGGGAUGGGGUGGCUUCAACUUUGUAUCUGUGAAAUCAUGGACGUCUUUAUGGUAGGCAUGGAAAAGUAGGCCAGACACUGCCUUGAGUCUCGGCUGUCUCGACGGUUGUAUUUUGUGUAUAUGUACAUAACGAAGACAUCCCCAUGCAUGUUGCUAUCUCCCUUUUCUGGGGGCUAGUACGACUGCUGAAAGCUAUUUCUGCACCGCCGACGAACCUUGACCUAACUUUUAUCAAGCACCGAACUCGUCCUAAUACUGUGCCAGCCCCAAUAACUACAAUUUGGUUAAUUUUGCUUUUUCAUUUGGAUACAAUUCUAUGCAUCCUUUUCCCCGGAGGUUUUUUAUAUAGGAACAUUUUAUCUUUAAUUUUAUACAAUAUUUUUCUUCGAAUGGCAGUAUGGGCAGAUACCUGAGAACCCAGUUUACCCUUUGAUAUUCUAACACCACGAAGAAAAUUGAAAUUUUUAACUCUAAAACUUGGUAAUAAGUCUAAGGGAGUGACCCAACUUACCCUAACCAUAGAUUAGCCCUAAUACACACAUGCAAAAUCUCAUAGUUUUUCGACAUGAAAACAACAAUUUACAUCCUCACACAUUAUAGAUGACAAUUUGCCUAUAAAAAUAUGAACAUGAUUAUUGAUUAAUUACUACUUAAUGAAUAACUUAGUAGCAAAAGUACAUAUUCUUUUGGCAAAAUUUAUAUGAAAUUCAACUCGUUAAAGUUUGACGGUAAGAUAUGGUACUUAUGACGAGAGGGAAUCGGUCACCCAGCAGCAUCCUACCUAUUUGGGACAAGGAACGAUAUUCUUUAUGUUUUUUUUCUGGAAGAAUAUGAAGCUUUAGAGGUCUUGAGAAUUUGGAGGUUUUUGUGCAAAAUUUAGAUCGAGGCCCUUCAUUUUUUAAUACUGUAUUUUUUUUGUUAUUUUUUUUUUCAAUUUGUAUCUAUAAAAUUUAAAUACUACAAAUUAGAGCACCACUUUGAGUGGAUAAGAGUGUUUCCUGUCUUGAAAGGUCUUCAGUUCAAAAUAUGUUGCAUGGUUUUUUGUGUAAAACUUAUCAACUUUUUAAGUUAAUAAAUUUGCAAAACUUAAAAAAAUAGCAAAAUAGUUCUACAAGAACUCGGGCCAUGUACAAGAAGAUUGAAGGCCUACACCACUAGAGAUGGUGUGGUGAUUAUUAUUAUCUUACACAUUUAAGUCUAUAAUAGGUAUUUGUUUACAUGUAAAGAAACUUUGGGGGCCUUAUGAGGUGGCACCUUUUGCACACUCUGCCGGCUCUGUCUAUGAGUUUCCAAAAAAAAAAUAUUAUUAUUAUUAUUCUAUGAUUAUUAGUUUGAUAAUUAAAGUAUAUAGUGUUUAUUGUAUAAUAGAUUAUUUGAAAAUAUCUAUCUAAUCAAGUAGACUGGAACCCCUUGACAAAGACCUAGCUACAUAUUAACGCAUACUAGCUGGUGGUGGAGUAGAGAUUUAAACACAAAACAUCGAACGUAGGAAUAAAUAUAUUUCACUAUUUCAACUCUAGUCUAAAAUCCUAGCAAGUAAAAACCAACUUAUUAAGAGAGAUGGGGAUAUACUUUUGAGGGAGUCCUUAGCAUUUUUCUAUAGAGAUUCAUUAUCCAUUUUCUGGAUUUCACAGUGAUCAUUGUGCAAUUGAAAGUUUAAACAUUAGANNNNNNNNNNNNNNNNNNNNNNNNNNNNNNNNNNNNNNNNNNNNNNNNNNNNNNNNNNNNNNNNNNNNNNNNNNNNNNNNNNNNNNNNNNNNNNNNNNNNNNNNNNNNNNNNNNNNNNNNNNNNNNNNNNNNNNNNNNNNNNNNNNNNNNNNNNNNNNNNNNNNNNNNNNNNNNNNNNNNNNNNNNNNNNNNNNNNNNNNNNNNNNNNNNNNNNNNNNNNNNNNNNNNNNNNNNNNNNNNNNNNNNNNNNNNNNNNNNNNNNNNNNNNNNNNNNNNNNNNNNNNNNNNNNNNNNNNNNNNNNNNNNNNNNNNNNNNNNNNNNNNNNNNNNNNNNNNNNNNNNNNNNNNNNNNNNNNNNNNNNNNNNNNNNNNNNNNNNNNNNNNNNNNNNNNNNNNNNNNNNNNNNNNNNNNNNNNNNNNNNNNNNNNNNNNNNNNNNNNNNNNNNNNNNNNNNNNNNNNNNNNNNNNNNNNNNNNNNNNNNNNNNNNNNNNNNNNNNNNCACUCAUAGUGGGCCAACAAGGGCCCCACACCCAUAUACACACAGCGAUCCCCACCGUUGGUUCAAAUCGGAAAGCAUCAUCAUCAUCAUCAGUCCUAACACACAGGCAGUUGUGAUUUAUUUAACACAAUCAUUAACUAAUUAAUUUAUUCACGCUCCCAUACAAUAAAACAAGCCCACCACCCCGCGCUCUCUCUCUUCCUUUUAUUUGUCAGAAAAAUGAAAAAUUUCAGAAAUAUGAAAGUGACGACUGACGAGGCCACUCUCUCUGUACUCUCUGUGUCGCUGAACUAAAUACAGAGACGACGGGCGAGUCACUGACUCACUGAGUCACCCGAGCCGACCCGCAUUGAGCUUUUCUAGCUUACUUAGCUACCCAUGGCUGCGGCUCUGGAGUGCUGGUCGGGCCGAGCGAGCACGGACGAGGACAUGGUGGAGCAGGUGCUGAUGAGGACGCAUGACAGAUCGGAAGGCGCGACGGCGGCGCGGGAGAGUUCGAACGGCGCCGGAGUUAAGGAGUCGUCCGCGGUGCAGAAGAAGCUGCAGAGGCUGAGCCGGAACGUGUCAGAGGCCAUCGCGUCGUUCAAGAAACUCGCUGAAUCUCGACUCGGCGAGUGACUCGGCUACGGCGUCGUUUGGCAAGAUCGAGAGCUCGAGGAAGUUGGUGUGGGGAGUGUGGUGUGCGUAAUCUCACGCAGCUCUACCCUGGCAGUCAGCUGCCGGAGAAGCUCGUCUCCAACAUUCGCAAGCAUUACGAUUCUCUUCCCCUCAGGUUUGAAGGCUGAAUCUUUAGCUCUGUUUGGUUACUGAGUUUAUUUUAUAGUUGUUUGGAUUGAUGGAUUGCGACCUUGUGCAAUUUGUUGAGCAGCCAAACAGAGGAUUUUGGAUUGUGUUGUGAUUGAUUUUGCUUGUUUAGUGAUUUGGGUUUUUGUGUGUAUGUGAUGAAUAGUUAUGCUCAAGCGGGAUUCGAGAUGAAAGAAGUGUUUCUUCAUAUAAAAUUGAUAGAGCAGGCAUCAUUGGAAGGGCAUCCUGCAAUGUUGAUUCAAGAGGUGUCUGAGGAGGACGCUCAGGGGUCUGUGUUCAAGCUCACCUUUGCCUGUAACUGUUCGAUUUCAUGGCCAUUGAUGUCCGGUGCACUCGAUAACGAGUCGAUUUGCUACAAGAAGGUACAGAUCUUUGAGAAGAAAGGGUGUACUAUUGGCGUUGUUCUUCUUAUGGUUGAAGUUGGGCAAGAUAAAUUGUUCAGAAACCGGGUUGAAAAUGCUUUGAAGUCGGCUAUAAGGAAGCCCAAAUCGAGCACAGUGAAGCUCCCGUUUGGACUAUGUGGGUGUCAAGAAGAGAAUACGAAGGGGAGGGAGGUGGGAGAUAUUGAGGACGACAUUGGUGAACAAAAUUAUAGGAAUGGGAUUGAGAUUUCUAGCCAAAAGAUUGAGCUUCCGGGAUCCUCUACCCACUUCGUCAUUUGUUGUAUCCGUAGAUGAAUGGCAGACGAUCCAAUCUGGUGGGAUGAAAUUGGGAAGUGGCUGUUGAACUCUGAUAAUCUCGACUUUGUUGAUCAGAUUGGACCCAAUUCAUAUAAGGGAGUGUACAAGGGGAAAAAGGUUGGAAUUGAGAAGCUUAAAGGGUGUGACAAGGGAAAUUCCUAUGACUUUGAACUCCGAAGAGAUCUUUUGGAGCUCAUGACGUGUGGGGAACAAGAACAUUCUGCAAUUUUUAUGGUGUUUGCAUUGACGACAAUCAUGGGUUGUGCGUUGUUACGAAGCUGAUGGAAGGUGGAUCAGUAUAUGACUUGAUGCUUAAGAACAAGAAGCUUCAGAUUAAGGACAUAUUAAGGAUUGCCGUUGAUGUAGCAGAGGGGGUCAAGUUCAUGAAUGACCACAGCGUUGCAUAUAGAGACCUCAACACACAGCGUCUAUUAUUAGAUCGACAUGGGAAUGCUUGCUUAGGGGACAUGGGUAUAAUUGCUGCUUGUAAAAGUGUUGGUGAUGCAAUGGAGUACGAGACAGAUGGAUACCGGUGGUUAGCUCCCGAGGUUAGUUCAUUGUUGCAUCAGUUAUUAUUCCGUGAAUUAAUAUAGCUCAGUACUAAUCAGUCAACCUGGUAUUCUUUUUUUCCCAAGUUUAGCUAGCCACUUAGACCACAUCUUGCAUUACAUUACUUUAGUGUCAUCCCAUGAAUUUUCUGCUUUGAACCAGUUAAAACUGAGUUCUUUCAUGUAUAUAAACCUUUUAUCUUGUCAAUCUGCAUAACCAAAGGCUGUGGAAAAACUAACGUUCCAUUUCCAUAGACGUUGCAAACCCAAUGUGGCUGUUGUUCCAAAAACUUACUGGUAUGAUCAUAUUACAGUCUUCUAGUCAUUAUUUUGCUACAAAAACUUUACCUGCAUAGACCUUCCCAGCAUACAAGAUUUGAUUUGUUUCCUAUGGAUUCACAGAUUCAAUGUAUUAAUUCACCUAUUCAGGAUCAAUCUAUUUUCACUAAAUACACUUUAUGUCACUUACCCCGACAUAUUUGUUUGAGCAUGCCUAACAUGUCUUCAUAAUUGGUGGUACUUUUUACAUCUCAGUGUACUAUUUAUCUUUAUAUAAGCACUCAUCUAUAUUCCGUGAAACUUUACCCAACUACGUUUAUGCAUGCCACUAAACAUAUCAGCUUAGCCGCAACCUUAUAGUAGUGCUACUUUCCGAAAUACAGGUAUUAUUAUUGUGCGGAUCCCCCAAAAUGAAAAUUUUAAGUUUUUAGCAAUGAUCACUGGUCAAGAAUUAUAUCCUUUCCGGAACAUUGUUUGAUGUGCCGCAUGUUUCAUCCACCUUUUAUUAGCUUGUGAUAAUAAUUGGAUGCUGACACAAAACUCUAGGUAUAAAUUACUUGAUGAUGAAAAGAACUAUUUUAAUGUCGUUUAUUUGGAUUUGCUUUGAUUUGGGUCCCGGGAAAUGCGGAUACAAAUCACUUACAACAGAAUAAUUUUCUUUCUUUACUCAAGUUUGCUCUUUUGGGACCACCUUUUGUCACUUUCACUUUUGUAUACCUUCCGUCAAUCUGAAUAACAAUGAGCUUGUUCACAUUUUUGGAAGUACAGAAGUAAACAAAAACUUGAAGUUGUUCUUCCUUCUAAUGAAUUACACCUCAACUUGGAGUCGGCCGGCCCGACGACUUUGCCGGUUUCUGGGUAAAACUUUAAAAAUCACUAUUCUCCUUUGAUUCUUCACCAUUUUUCAUGAAAUUGGUACCAAAAUGAAGCUAAUAACAUGUAGAAUCACAUUAUACAAGUUUCAACGCUUAAAUUCUACUAGAUUUUUCCUAAGAAAGGUCGAUAGCUUGGCUUACCUAGAAACACAUCGAUCUCAGUCCUCCGACGUCCAAAUCCUUCCAACGAAGUACCUCUAGACUCGUGAGGACCUCCUUAAGCUUCCUAUGUUCUUAGAAUUCCUUGAAACACAAGGUUUUACGUGUGCAUGAACAAUGCACAAAAUCGGGGUUAGGGUUUCUCGGGUUUUCGAAACAUUCACGUCCAAACAAGGGUAUCAAUGUACUCAAAAGGUUACAAUGAGCAAGAACCUUACCUUUAAAGCUUCAAUCCGUGCCUGAAAGGGAAAGUUCAAAGCUUGUCCGUACGAAAGAGGGAAGAGAGAGAGUCCAAGAGAUGAGAGAGAGAGAGCACAGGAAUGAGAGAGAAGGUAGGUGGGUAUGUGUGGUCCAAAAGCCACCAAUCAUAACUAAGAGAAUACUUAGUUCUAAUUGGUUCCAAAAAAUAGAGGAAUAUAGCUAAUUGGUCCACACUCUUAAGUAUAACCCAUAGCAUCCAUAAUAAUUCUCAAUGUCCAAGGGUAAUUCCGUCAUUCCACAUUGUCGAAAAUUUAUAUAUUUGAGACGGGCUGUGACACGUCGACCGACCUGGGCCGAGGAGUAAAAAUAUAUUGAUGUUGCAUCGGAUGCGCUGCUGACUUCUCGAUCUUGCGAUUGUGGCCGAGGAAAGAACACGUAUCGGCCUUCGGGUUCUAGAGUCUGAAGACAAGGCUGUUAGUUCUACGAAGUUCACAAAUCGUCGGUGUCGAAUUUGGUCACGGUGAUUAUAUUCGUAAGAGUAUAAGUACGCCGAAUCGACACUAGACUAUAUGGACACAAGUAUUCAAAGCAAAUGUACCUUUUAAUAGUAAAUGUGGUUCGGCCGUCAGAAUGUCGAACUCUAAGUCCAACUUGUGAGUAUCCAAUCACAAAAUAACUCGGCGUUCAACGCACCAAGUCUAGUGAUUCGUAACACCUCACUUCGCCGAAAAUGAUCGUAAGAUGACCUCUGCCAACCGAGGCUUGGGUAGAAAACCAGUCGGCCUUGACGCAGUGCUGUUUAUCCAAACUGAAGGUGUUUCGCAGUCGACUGAUUCUACGUCGGCAGUGCUGUUUAUCCAAACUGAAGAUGUGUUGGCGAAAAAGAAACUAAAAAUCUCAAGGUUGUUGAGAGGUUUCGCGUAGAGCGAGGGUUUGCGCAUGGCAGUUUGUGUGUUGAGUUGGAGGGCCCUUUUCGUUGUUUGCCGCUUUGUAUUUAUAGCCAAGUUUCCUUGACCGCCAAUCCAAAAGAGUCCUUUCCCGACUAUACUCCAAAAAUAAUAUCAAAAACAAUUGAUAUUAUCUUUAAAUAUAUUUCGGCAAAAAAUCUUCUUAGUCUCCUUAUGCUUGUAGACUUAUAUGCUUGUAGACUUAUACUAAAGGAGCAACAAAUGUCCUGUUGAAACCCUUUCACAUGGCAUGCAUACUGUGAUUCCAUCAUCAAUUCUUAUCACUUUAAACUCAUUUGACAACACCCAUCACCAUGCAAAAAGGCCUAGCCUACCUAGGUUUCCUACCACAUCAUCACAUCACCAAAAAAAAAAAAAAAAAAAACCUAGCUUUCCUAGGCUCUCAUCAUCACCCUAAGCCAUCAUCUUUUACCAAAAAUGUCGCAUGCAUCUUGAAUGCUGAUGUUCGUUUUUAAUUAUCACCAUAUUUUAAAUGGAUAAUAUCCUGACAUGCAUGCUUCAUUAUCUGAUGCCGUGUAUAUCUGUCAACCAAAAUUGAUCUAAACCACAUAUCCACAUCCAUAUCAAUUUGAAUUGUGCCGCAUGUUUCCAGCUUGGAGAUAUAUUAUUUCCAUAAGAAAAUGUCAAGAUAAAUCAUUAUUAAAAGAUAAUCAUGAUAAAAGAAACCAUAAUGUUAUCUUUUUAACCUUACUAAAAUUAUCUUCACUUUUCCAUCGACAGUGUGGAGGUAUGCUUACUCAACGGUCUUGAUUACUCGGGGCCGAUGGUGUAAUUUUAGGUCCAAACACUAUCAAACUGUAAUUAGUAUGUAAAAAUACUUGACUGUGGCAUGUAGCUGAACAGUGUUGAUAAGUAAUCAUAUGAUUUGUAAUAUAAUACCAUCUAAAAACUAAGUGCUUUUGCAAUGAAGUUUUGGAGGCCAUAUAAGGUUUAAUAUUUGAGUCAUCUUACGCACAAAUAUUGAAGUUGUAUAAUGUAUACCAAGUCCAAAGAUUUUAAUUAUACCAAGAUGAAACCAAACCAACUUUCUAGUUUUGUAAAUCAAAGUGACGCUUCGGUUGCCCUUGCCGAUACGACUAAAAACUUGUGCCUCAAGACAAAACAUGACCAACCUUUUGUGCCCUUCUGUUUUUUUCUGUUUUGGGUCAAAUCUGUACUUUUUCUUUGUCAAUUGCCUCUCUGCACUUAAUUAUCUUUCCAUGCUUAGCUGACUGUCAACAUCUUCAUCAUCAUAACCAUAUACUUAAAAUUUCUCCACCUUCCAUUCCCAUGUCACAUACUCUUUGGUGAAAGAAAUGAGUACAUGUUUUUGGUUGAAUUGUCAUGACAUGUCGUUCAAAGUUUAUUCAUGUCAUAAGUCUUUCUACCAUGCAUGGUAUGUGAAUUCAUUUUACGUGAUGUUACACCAUCUUUGUUAGGUCUCCUUACUAUAGAUCGAUGACAUAUCAAUUAUGUCAUUCAUUCAAGUUAUAUAUAACACAUGUAUCAAUAGCAUCACAUGCUGAUAUGAUCAUCACACGCUUCAAAUUAAUUUUUUCUAAAGUACUCUUGGAGUUCCCGAUUCCAUACAUAUUUUUGGAAACUGAAAGCAAAUAUAAAAAACAAAGCACGCUGCAGUUGAUAUUUACAUGGAUGUUUGCAUUCCGCAAUAAGUACAAAGGGGAGAAAGAGAGAGAGAAGGGAGCUGAAGCUCUCCAACUGGGUUUGUCGAAGCCUUCAAAAGCUCCCUUCAUACAAAAGGUGGGACGAAGAGAUCGAACUAAACCCACCAAAGAAAAUAAACAAAACGAAAUCCCAGCGUUAAAAUUAACUUCAAAAUGAUCUAGGGAUCGGUUCACGUUAAAUGAGUGAUUUCCACAAGUCAUUUUUCUUUCGUCUGCACACUUUAGACUUAAACGACAAAAAUAAACAUAAAAUGUAGAACGAGAAAAUGUGUGCGUAAAUCGCCUCCCCGCUCUAAAUGUUCUGUCAGAAAGGUCUGAACCUCUUGGAGCCAACAGAUGGAGGACUAAUCUGAGGAACCGUGAAGCCGUCAUCCAUCCACAUUCUGUUGCUGGCCUUCAUGUUUGUACCCUCCUUUGUCUCUUCGAAGCCAACGAACCCACCGCCCAUCUGUGAAUAUUGAUACGGAGGUGCUUGUGAUGCCUGUGGGACCCACAUCCCCAUAUUUUCCGACGAGAAAGAGUUCAGAUUGCUUUCCGGAUAGGUUUCCGAAAACGACAGCAUCAUAUCAUUGUCGACCUGCCAUAACCAAUAAAACAAAAUGCAAAAUGUCAGAUCCAGCAGGCUAAUUAACUAAUUGAUGACAGAUUAACAAAACUCAAAGGAGAAGUGAUUUCUGCAAACUCAUUCUCUCUUAUCGUUGUUAGUAUGAAAUAAAUCAAACGAGAAUCAAGAGACUUGAAACAAACAGAAGUGUGCAGAAAUCAUUUUCCGACCCGUAUUUGGAAAUUUCAGAAAAAAUAGGGAAGAACGAGAUCAAUCAAUGCAAACCUUAGAGAAACCAAACGGGGUAUUAGAAAAAUCAAGAAAAUCCUCAACAUGCCAGCCCGGAAGCGUCUCUAUCAAGUACUCGGAUAUGGUACUAGUCGCACCCACCAAAUUUCCACCGCCUUUGUCGAUUGCAGCGGUUGAAGUUGAAUUCUUGACAGAAAUAGGAGGUGGGUUUGGAUUUGAAAUUGCAGGGGAGGCGGCGGAAACAGAUUUCUUGGUUGAAGGUUGAUGCUUUUUGAGAUCGGUAGAGGCGGUUUCAGAACUAGCAGUUGCUACAGUUGGCCGCGGCGGCGAAGAUUUGUAGAGGGCGGAGGUGGCGGAGAGCUUAAUACCUGUAAGAAGAUAUCGGUUGUGCUUCCGGGUGUGCUCGUUGGCGUUGUGAAUUGGAAGGUCGCACUCCCUGCACAGAAUCGCUCUGUCCUGCUGGCAAAACAAGAAGGCUCUUCUCUCCUGUAGAUGAAGAUUAAGAAACCCAAAUCAGAAAAUCGAGCGACCAUUGUUUAGAGGGUAGAGCCGUAGAGGGAGGAUAUAUACAGUAGCAAUCGAGCGCUAACAAGUCAGUAAGCUAAUACAUACCUGACAGAUAUCGCAGACGGGGAACUCCUUAGACGAGGGGUGGACGAGAGAGAAACGGUGGUGCUUGGAAACGAGCUUAUUGGCGUGGUGGACACGGUGGUCGCAGGCGUCGCAGAGGGCGGCCUCGUCGGCAGUGCAGAACACCGAAGCGUCGUCCUUGUUACACACAUCACACUGGAUCUUCAUCAGUUCUGAACUUCCAGAACAGAAAGAGAAGCUAAAUCUAAGGGAAAUAGGUAAAGAGGAAAAGGAGGCAGUGGGAGUGGAGGCUCUUUAAAGAAAGCAGAGGAUACUUAAAAGAGAACAAAUAUGAGGAGAGUAAAAAGUACCGGCGAGUAAUAAAAUAUCGACAGGGAUACUGGGAAAUCUUGGGGAACUAUUUAUGGUCCUUUCUCUCUCUCCUCUCCCUUUCUCUCUCUAACUUUAACAGAGCGAGAAUGGUGGAGUGAGCGAGUAAAAGGAAGAUGCUGAGAGGUUAGAAGGGUUGGGAGGUGGUUGCUUUAUUAAAUGGUUUUGGUCAGUGAAUAUUUAACAAAUUACAGUUGCCCCAUUUAGCUGUGAAGUGAGAGUGGGAUAAAAGCUCCAUAUAAUUUGGGGUUCGUUUGUUUACUACUUUUAGGUUCCGGUUCAAUUGUUUUUCAUUUCCGGCUUUGGUAAUUGGUUCGUCUUUUGGGCAAGCGUGUGUGUGCGAGGAAGUGACGAAGUCGGGGUAGGGUUAGGGUUAGGGUUAUGGCAAAGACCAAUGCUAAUGUGACUAAUGUGAUAUUGUUUCAAAACUAAUAUGGCAAAAUUAAAAUACGUAGUAACUUGUGAUACUAUGUGCCACUAUUACAUUGACAUUUCUGUUUUGUAUGUGUUUUUUACGUACACGAGAUCAUUUUUAUACGAUCGAGUAUGAUUAAAACUAUAAAAUUUCAAAUUUUUGUGUAAAUCGCUGAAUGAAUCACGUCAUCAUGUUGUUGUACUCAAAUUUUUUCUCCCAACAAUGGUGCAAUUUUCUACUUUUACUUAUUUCUCAAAUUGCUCUUAAUCAAUCAAUCAAUAAAUAAUUGGUUCAUCAUGAAUUCCAAGUUGAGUAGUAAUCACAUUUUAGUUUUUAUUUAGUCUUUUGAUUAUAGUAGUUAUAUGGGACCACCUUAUUAUACCCAUGCUGGCUCGACAUUGCAUCUGAUAUCAUGUGAUCUCCAAAUCUUGGAGGAGGGUUUUGUUUAUCUGAGCAAGACCUCGAACAGCUAUUACUUUCUCACCACUCCAACAAUAACAAUUAAACAUUAUCUUAUUAAGUAGAGUCGGCUAUAUGAAUCUUAUAACGUUUAUGCAUUCAAUUUUUUCGUCAAUUCUGCUAUUAGCUCAAGUACUACUACCCCGCCACUCCACACACUAAAAAAAAUUAAACGUGGAAAUUCAUUUAAAUUCAUCGAAGACUGAAUAUUAACAUGAAAUACAUACAUAGAUACAUUGUGGUGGUGGGACAACACAAGAUCGAGAAGAUAUCAUGUGAUCUUACGUCUUCUUCUUCUUAUGUCUUUGGUUAUUCGAAAAGGAAUAAGGAUCUUUCAUAUAUAUAUAGUUCAUACCCUUAUAUAAUUAGGGGUGGGUUCGGUUUAAUUCGGUUCGGUUUUUUGCCAAAACCGAAACCAAACCGAAAUUUCGGUUCGGUUCGGUUCGGUUCAUUUUUUUUUCAGUUUUUUUCGGUUCAGUUUCGGUUUUUUUGUUUUUUUUUCUUUCAAAAAAUGAAAAACAUUGAAAUUUUAACAUAUGCAACACAAUCAUAUAAUCAAAGACAAUGAAAAUAAAUAUUUAAAGUUGAACUAAAAUCAUCAAUCAAGUCUUCCAAAGUCCAAACUAACAACCUCACAACACAAAAAUCGUACAAAUGACUUAGAAAAGUUAAAUUGUAUGAUGUUGUUCAAAGAUCAGGGUUGUUUGCUUGUAACUGCAUGUUGACAACUUGAUUAGUAAAAGUAAUGCGUGGGUGGAUUUAUUUAGUAUGUGUUGGAUUCUUUUCCAUCACAAAUUCCCUAAGUAAUCUACCCGAAAUAAAUGUUUAUGGAUUCUGUUACAUGUUAUAUAAGAGUAGAUUUGGAAAAGAAAGCUGAGACAGAAGUAGACAGUGCUAUGGAGAUGGAUGUAGGUACUUCAGGAUGAGGUUUGACUCCGGAACCUUAUAUGGGGGAUAAAUAAUAGGUUAGGGUUUAAAGUUUUUAUAAGACUUUUUUUUAAUAUUUUGAGCUUAAAGUUUGGCAACACAUUGGGUUUAGCACAUUUUAACUUACAAAUUGGGUUUAGAAAAUAAUAUCCAAAACAAAUAAUUAAAUAAAAAAAUUAAUUUAAUUAAUUCGGUUCGGUUCGGUUUGGUUCGGUUUCUAGAUCACUAAAACCGAACCGAACCAAAAGAAUUCGGUUCGGUUCGGUUUUUUUGUUCGGUUCGGUUUUUUCGGUUUCGGUUCGGUUUGGUUUUCGGUUUUUUUCGGUUUUCGGUUUUUUGAACCCACCCCUAUAUAUAAUUGAUUGCGAAAGUGACCAAAUUGAAUGUGCUUUUCCUUUGAGGUUGGCAUGCAUGGAAUAUAUAUGGACAGAAUAAGCUCAGACAUGAAUAUUAAACUACUGAUUGAUAGCACUCUUCAAUAAGAUUGUGUUGGGUGUAUAGAUACUAAUAUCUAGUUAGAUAAGAUCACUAAAAUCGUCACUGAAGUUCCUAUUAACUAAAAACAUUUUCAACUAUUUUAAAAACAGUUCAAAAUGAGCACUUAUUGUGGUGCUACAAUAUUAUUUUAUUGUGAAGCACUAAACAAUAGAGGUCCAUUCCAUUAUGAAAGCUAACAACUUUUUAGUAAAUUGAUUAUAUUUUUUUAAUACAUACGAUAUUAUAUAUAUUAAGAGAUUGAUGAAUAAGCUAAAAUUCACAAUGAACUAACCAUAAUAAUUUAGUUUAAAUUCGUUUUUUGAAGAAAAUCAAACUUAAGACUUCUCACUUAAGUACAAAUGAAAAUGAAUAAAUACCAAACUAUAGCGCAAAGUAAAUAAAAAUAAAACAUGGCAAACAUCCACUCUAAAAGAUUUUUUAUGGUUAAAAAGAGGAGGAGGGUCGGAUUACAUAUUUAAAUGAAAUACAAUAUUAUUAGCCUAUUAGGGUUCUGGUAAGUGGAGUAUUAUACAAAACAUAUUUUAUAUUGCCACCAGAUCUAGAUUAUUGUUGAAGUUUCGAGCAAUAAGCGAAUCUCGAAUCCUCUAUUAUUAUUUUUUUAUCGGGAAUUAAGGAUCAUGGGACCGCUUCGCUCUUUAAAAUUGGGGGAUGGGGUGGCUUCAACUUUGUAUCUGUGAAAUCAUGGACGUCUUUAUGGUAGGCAUGGAAAAGUAGGCCAGACACUGCCUUGAGUCUCGGCUGUCUCGACGGUUGUAUUUUGUGUAUAUGUACAUAACGAAGACAUCCCCAUGCAUGUUGCUAUCUCCCUUUUCUGGGGGCUAGUACGACUGCUGAAAGCUAUUUCUGCACCGCCGACGAACCUUGACCUAACUUUUAUCAAGCACCGAACUCGUCCUAAUACUGUGCCAGCCCCAAUAACUACAAUUUGGUUAAUUUUGCUUUUUCAUUUGGAUACAAUUCUAUGCAUCCUUUUCCCCGGAGGUUUUUUAUAUAGGAACAUUUUAUCUUUAAUUUUAUACAAUAUUUUCUUCGAAUGGCAGUAUGGGCAGAUACCUGAGAACCCAGUUUACCCUUUGAUAUUCUAACACCACGAAGAAAAUUGAAAUUUUUAACUCUAAAACUUGGUAAUAAGUCUAAGGGAGUGACCCAACUUACCCUAACCAUAGAUUAGCCCUAAUACACACAUGCAAAAUCUCAUAGUUUUUCGACAUGAAAACAACAAUUUACAUCCUCACACAUUAUAGAUGACAAUUUGCCUAUAAAAAUAUGAACAUGAUUAUUGAUUAAUUACUACUUAAUGAAUAACUUAGUAGCAAAAGUACAUAUUCUUUUGGCAAAAUUUAUAUGAAAUUCAACUCGUUAAAGUUUGACGGUAAGAUAUGGUACUUAUGACGAGAGGGAAUCGGUCACCCAGCAGCAUCCUACCUAUUUGGGACAAGGAACGAUAUUCUUUAUGUUUUUUUCUGGAAGAAUAUGAAGCUUUAGAGGUCUUGAGAAUUUGGAGGUUUUUGUGCAAAAUUUAGAUCGAGGCCCUUCAUUUUUUAAUACUGUAUUUUUUUUGUUAUUUUUUUUUUCAAUUUGUAUCUAUAAAAUUUAAAUACUACAAAUUAGAGCACCACUUUGAGUGGAUAAGAGUGUUUCCUGUCUUGAAAGGUCUUCAGUUCAAAAUAUGUUGCAUGGUUUUUUGUGUAAAACUUAUCAACUUUUUAAGUUAAUAAAUUUGCAAAACUUAAAAAAAUAGCAAAAUAGUUCUACAAGAACUCGGGCCAUGUACAAGAAGAUUGAAGGCCUACACCACUAGAGAUGGUGUGGUGAUUAUUAUUAUCUUACACAUUUAAGUCUAUAAUAGGUAUUUGUUUACAUGUAAAGAAACUUUGGGGGCCUUAUGAGGUGGCACCUUUUGCACACUCUGCCGGCUCUGUCUAUGAGUUUCCAAAAAAAAAAUAUUAUUAUUAUUAUUCUAUGAUUAUUAGUUUGAUAAUUAAAGUAUAUAGUGUUUAUUGUAUAAUAGAUUAUUUGAAAAUAUCUAUCUAAUCAAGUAGACUGGAACCCCUUGACAAAGACCUAGCUACAUAUUAACGCAUACUAGCUGGUGGUGGAGUAGAGAUUUAAACACAAAACAUCGAACGUAGGAAUAAAUAUAUUUCACUAUUUCAACUCUAGUCUAAAAUCCUAGCAAGUAAAAACCAACUUAUUAAGAGAGAUGGGGAUAUACUUUUGAGGGAGUCCUUAGCAUUUUUCUAUAGAGAUUCAUUAUCCAUUUUCUGGAUUUCACAGUGAUCAUUGUGCAAUUGAAAGUUUAAACAUUAGAGUUGAAGAUAAUAUAAUUAGAGGGAGACUUCACUUCUGCUUAAAAUACGUAGUGAUCUAUUAUAAAUUAUUAUGUAAAGAUCAUCUUUACAAAAAAUCAAUUACAAUUAAGAUUGUUGAGUCAUCAAACUAUAUAAAAGAUUAAAAACAGAUUGACAGAUUUGAUAAAAAUAUUAUGAACCGUCAAUCUAUUUGCUACAAUUGAAUGACUAAAUCAUCUUAGAUUUAGUUGAUUUUUUGCAUAAAUGAUCUUCACAUAGUGAUGUAUAAUAUGAACGGUCCGAUUAUAAGCACGAAAUUUUGUGUAAAUCACAAAGUAUUUUGAGGAGGAAUUCCUCCUCAACUUUAAAGAGCCAAACUCUUCUUAUAGAAUUAAAACUGUAGCACUUGUCAAAUAAAUAACUGGUGCCACGAAACUUAUUGCAUGCUUUGUGAUAUCAUUUGCACGUAUUAACCUCUGAUCAGAGUUUAUUCACGUUUGUGCUCAAACCCACAUCGGUUAUGUGAAUGUGAUCAUUUAAAUGCUGUUAUAACUCAGAUCAGAAAAAAAAAAAAAAAACAAACUAUACCAGAAUUAAAUAAUCUUGAAGGGACAAAGAAGGAUCAAAAGAUAGGUCUUGUAAAUAUUUUGUAUUAGGGUUUGAUUCCAAUACGUUUCAUUUGGACGAGAAUUUUGAAGAACAGGAUGUGCUCAGGCUGGAAAUAUAUAAUUCCCCAUGCAUUAUAUUUGUGUCUAUAUAUUAUAUAUGUAUACAUGUCAUGUGUAUAUAAAUAUCAGGAAGUUAACAUAUUUAUUACAGGUAUGUUGCAGCAUAAGCUGGACAUAUGCGCUAGCUGUGCACUGUGUGAGGAUAAUUUUCUUAUAUGGCUUGAAUCUUUAAUAUUAUUGCCUUCAUUAUUUGUGUUUACUAUUUUGAAAGGAUAUUGUCACUCGUUGUUACUAAAAUUGAGAAAAAAAACUCAGAAACGAAAUAAAGGAGGAAAGUGAAGAAAAAAGUAGAAAUAAAAAACAAUAAACAAAUAGUAUUUACUACGAUGCAUAUAUACAAUAAUUUACUUGCCAGUUUAACAAAAAUUUAAAAUUUCUUAUAGCGAAGCUCUAAUAGUAGUGACGAUACCUAAACUAAUUAAUUGAUGAUGGUCAUUGAUAAUAUAAGCAAAGGACUCGAAUAGCUUUGGCAAAGGUUUUCCCUCAGGACUGAGGACAGAAUGAAGGGAUUUCUCCCGGGGGCACAAGGGUUAGCCUGUCUUUUUGUCCCAAAUAUAUAGAAAUUUAAAUAAUAAUAAAAGAAUUAAAAUGGAUUUUUAAUUAAAUAGAAUUUGUUUUAAAAAAAACAAAAAAGUAAAAGUAGAGAGUGACAAAAAGAAAGAGGACGAGUAAAACUAUUGUUACAUAUGGAUGGAUGAAAAAAAAUAGUUUUUAUUAGCAAAAUUACUUUAAUGCCUGUAAUUUUUUUAAUAUUUUCUUUUAAUUAUGCAUAAAAUAAUGACACUAUUUUCAUUAUUUUUUUUUUGUUGAUAAUCAAAUUUUUAUUAAUAGAUAGCAUAAAUAUAAGUAUAUUUUUACUCCUCAUAUAACAACUAAAUUUGCUGUAGCAAAACUCAAGUUGGAUGGUUUCCCGAAAAAAAUUGGAUUUGUUAUCCCAAGUUCAACUCCUGGCAACAGAAAAUUUUGUUUUACAUUAAAAUUAUUUUUAUUUUUAGAAUUCAGCUACCGGAAUCAUCAAGUAGCGUACUUCUAUUAAAAAAAAAACAUGAAAACAGGAUUCAAGAUUUGCCAUGAUGGAUAGGCUCUUUCUCUAUAAGCUUCCGGUUUGGAAAACGAGAUAGAAAAGCUUUGUUGCGCCUUUUUGAAGGACCCCAAUUUUUGUUUCUUUCUGUUUUUCAACAAUUGAGAUUUUAGAUUCGAAUUUUCCAUUUAGAUUAUAUUAGAUUAGUAUAUCCUUAAAUCAAAGAAAAACAAACUGUGGUCCUAUUGAUUUAUGAGUUCGAAUAGAAAAACAAUAAGCAGAAAGUAAAUAUGUUGUCAAAUUACAGACCACCUUCUUCAACGACAAUUGUAUACAACAGAAGAGAAGUGGCUUCAACUAGUGAAACCCAGAAGCUGCAGGAAAAAUUAGCACCUUCUGAAUACUGUACCGUUCUUGGCACCUCCGCUAUCAUUCACAAUCGGUGCUCUUUGCCUUCAGCUAUUGGGGGAUGCUUUCCAAAUACUGCUUCACGCGUGUUUGGUUCAUCUCAAAUAUGAAUGGCAUUCCCCGUAUCUGCGCAAGAUUCAUCAUUUACAGAAUAUCGUUUAGUCAAGUAUGAUGCGAUCAAACUACCCGAAACAUGUGUUAUGUGAACUAGAGUGUAAUUCUAGUGUUUGGCUUGAGAUUAUUACGGCAGGAAAACCCCAAUCUAUUUGAAACACCAUGGUCUAUCAAUGACUUAGGAUGACGUACACAAUGUAUUGAGCAUUUUGAUCACCAACCCAAAAAUUUGACGAGUAUAAAAACGAAUUUUGAGGUAUGACAAUCAAGACUUGUGCACAGCCUCACAGAGACAUUGCACAAUAAACAGCUAAGAAAUUCAAAGAAAAAUGAAGUUUUAGCAAACAAAAUUGUAAGAACAUACCUCAAUCAAGCAACUUGAACUGAGGCUUAGACUCUGUCCAGGGGCUACUUCCUUGCUAUUUACCGAGAUUGAACACUUCCCAAGAUUUUUCAGAUGGAAGGAUCCAUCUUUAUCCAUAUUUAUCAUUGCCUAACAAACAUAUUAAAAUUAAAUAAUUUUUUGGGUUUAGCAAGAAGACGUAAACAGCAUAAUCAGAAGACACCUAAGUUCAGGCCUGUCAUUGCUAUCACGAUUUAAUGAGCUAAAUCCUAAAUGUCUUGAGGGAUUUCUUUCUACCACAUCAUUGAGAACACUACUUAGAACAAACUUUCCCCACUACUUAGAACAAACUGUCCCCACUCCUUAUCCGGCAUGUAUGUAUAAUCUUUAUUUCCAAACCUUUGGAAGGAAAGAAAAAAGCUAGUAAUUGCAUCACUGGUAUGGUGAAUAUGUUAAGGUGGUCAACAAUAAUAUUACCUGUUUCCGAGAGAUCUUAUUACCACGCCCGUCUCUUCCCAAGUCAAUGUCAACAACAGCAUCGUCUGUUGCUCUACCCAAUAGAACCUGCAGAUAUAGAUAGCUAUUCAUUCACAUAAUCAACCCAUGUCUGACAUAGACUUAUUGGACCAUCAGUUUUCAAUUCUUCUUUUCGACUAAGUCUGCACAUAUAGCAAAACCUAGAUGGAUCCUUAAUAUUCAUUAUGACAGUGAUUAAGUUAUACACAUAACUCUUGCUCCAUAAUUACAUCACUUCCAAAUGCAGCUAUGGGGUGAAAACCUCCCAACCCCAGUUAGCAGGAAAAGAGAAAAGAAGGGUCCAUAUGGCAAUCGAAAUACCUCGGGCUUCUUAAUGUAAUGCUUAGAAUGACGUCCAUACAAAAUGGCAAAAGCUCCAUGAGAUGCAAUGGCUCUUUGCAAAUAUGAAUAAGCACACUGCUCCAGCCUUAUGAUUCUCCUCUUAGCAUCCUCAUUUUGAUAUUUUGAGACUGCACAUAGAGAACAGCAUAAAAUUACAAUUUGUAAGGCAUAUUGAUGCAGUGAACCUACAUCACAUAUGAGGCAAUCGCUUUACAGAAAAUAUUAGUUCCGUGAUUAGGAAUGUUCUAAUGUUCUAUUUCAAAACAUAUCAUUUAGUAUGAAUGCCGUAUCAUCUGUCAGUGAAGCAUGAAUGCCACACAAUAAACACACUCAUUACAUUAAUGCACACCAUUUAUCCCAGGAUUUGAUAGGCAGAAGAAGGGAAGUACCGAUAAGAUUACGUUAAUGCAUGCCAUUUUAGAGGAUUUGAUUGGCAGAAGAGAAGUACGGAUAAGUCUGUAUAAAGAAAAUAAGUAAUGAGCUGGUCAUUAGAUGCAUAAUAGUUUGACCGAGUAUUACCUUCCUCACUAGAACACAAAUCCUGGUCAUCUGGGUCCAAAUCCAUAUCAAGUACCUGCAGGUGGAACAAAAGUCAAUGAAACUAUAAGAUGAAUUAAGAAAUUGAUAAGCAAAGCAAAUCUAUCAACACGAUGAUUUUCAUUUUAGCACUAACCAUUGCCUCUAUAUCCGAAUAACAUGGUAUAUCAUCAUCGCUCUCAAAAAGCCCCAGUUGAUCCGAUGUAUCGGGAUUUAAUUGUGGUUCAGCAAUAUACAUGGGCAGCCCUUCUGUAUGUAAUGAUAUAUCGUCUCUAAUUGUAGCUGAUGGAUCAAGCUCCUUUUUAAUGACACCAGAAUCUGGGUUCUCCACAUGAAACUCAGUUGAGUUAUAACUGAGACGCUUUUCCGAUACACUUUCUUUAGUGUCUUCCUUCAGUAUUCCAGGUUGAACACUUGUACUUGGAUUGGCUGAAUCAAUUUGGCCCGGACCUUCACCAACAUGACCUGCACUCUUAGAUGCCACCUCACUGGGGACAUCAGACAGCUCAAAUUUCACCCCGAAAUUACCUAGUGGAGAUUUUCGACCCUUUUCUUGUAAGAAAUGUGAUCCUUUAAUCUGACAGGUACUAUGUGGUUUUCCAAGAUUUUUUCGCUCUUUAUGCAUAAAGCACGGCCCUGUGUCAUUAUUUCUCUUAUUAACAGGGAAACCACUAGUGGACAAAGAUAUUGGCUUAUUCCCUUCAGAAGUUGAUGAACGAUUUGGUAGAAAAAUAUCACCAUUGCAUGGGAUUUCUGGGUCCUCGGUGUUUAAUGUGCAGCAGAUAAAUCCAUCCCUCAAUUCAGGAUUUUGAUAGUUCGAAGCUGUUGAAGAUGAUAGCAUCGGAGUGUCUGAAUGGCAGACUAUAUGUUCAUCAGCAUUUGGGGAUCCUCUAUUGUCAUCUACCACUCCAGGAUACGCACUAGAUGGGUUCAUGGAGUCCAUAACUGGAGCUACAGAUGUUUCUGGCUCAGUUUUGACGAUUGUCUGUUCAUGAAGAACAUCAUCUUUCGGUGAACUCAACAAAAGGGAGCUCAGGCCAUCAUAGUAAGACUUAUUAAUCACAUCUUUUCCAUCAGCAGUCACAAGCAUGAGCUCCUCAUUCGUAAAGUUUAAAAGUGAAUUGGACAAUUCUGCCAAAUAACCUUCAGUACAAACAGGAGCUGCAGAACUCUGGAAAUCACAGCAUGGCAUUUCAGUGGCCACCUCCAUCCCAAUAUGAGCAUCAUUCUCUGUUGUUCUUGCCUUGUUAGCCUCGAUAUUUUCAUGAAGUUCAAAAGAAUCACUGGUGCGUAUAUCAUUUUCUCUAAGAUCAACAUCAACUGGCAUAGCUGGAAGUGGAGAUGAAUACUCCAAGUUGUUAAAUAAUGCACCACUGUCUGAAACAGGUGAAUUAAAGGCCUUGUUCCCUUCAAACUCUGUGCACAUGUUUCCCUCGUUGCCAGUAAUUUGAUCAAGUGUAAACGGAGGUUUCAUUCCUAAGUCAUUGGCAUUGAACAGGCUGCAAUCUGGCAAUCCCUCUGGAUGAUUGAAUUCAUCCACCUCAGAUUCAUUCCAUGUCAUAAUAUCUUCAUGGAUAUUACCUUGUUCCAUAUGAAAAUCAUUCCCAUCUGGGUUCUGGAGCAUAUGAAAAGUAUCAUCAGUGCCGACAUCCAUCAGAUUUUGCAUUGCAUCCAUAUCUGAUGUCUCGAGGCCAAAAGGGGCUGAGAUUGGAUCUCCAUUCAUGCAAUUUCCGUAAAGAGGCUCAUCUCCAUUUCCAUCAUAGUUGUUAUUACUGGGUGCAACAAGAAAAUUAAGGCCCAUGGAAUUAAACGGCUCGUUGCAAAUCCUUUUACGCAUUGCAUAGUAACUACUACGAACACUUUCAGCUUUUCUCUUCCCGGAUUCACAUUUUUUUCCUUUUGAAUUUCCUGCCCUGUCAAAUGGAACAGUUGUUGUGGAACUCUCAAACUCAAUCAUGCGAGAAGAAGCAUCUUCAGAAACUACUGGAUCAUACAGGAGAGAAUACCACCGAUCUUGCAGUUCACAAACAGUAAAUCUUCGAGAAAAAUGCACUGCACCUUUAGCAAGUGACUCCAAGGAAGCACCAUCCUGCAAACAGAGCAAAAGAGUACCAAGUCCAAAUAUAACUUUCGAGAAUACUAAAUUCCUGAUAAACUUUCCUUGUAUGACAAAUAUAAUUACAAAAUCAAAACCGGCAUUCUGAAAAUGACCAAAUCCUAAUUUAUUUCCAAAAGGGGAACCCGGGUAGUUCCCCUCCGACGCAACACACUUAACAGAGGCGAUUACUUGUUAAUUCGACAAAGAUACAGCCUACCUCAGCAGGAAAACCAGCAGUGACAAUUGUACUAGCACAGAACAACAUAAUUUCAACUGUAUUCACCUUCAAUUGUAUCUAGCAUUUGUCCAAUUUAUCGAUUCUGUUUCAAUAAUUUCAAUCUUAAAUACGAGGAUAGCUAAACCCAUAACAUAUUCAAGAAACAUAAACCCGAAAUUCAUUGUUCAAACAAAUCGAAUUCAUAACACACUAAAACCCCAAUAAUUUGAAAACCCAAAAAAGAAACAAACAUCAUACGUAUAACGAAAACAAAUUACCAGAAAAAUCCAGGUUAAUAAUACACUACGAGGAUGCAUGAACAUCAGAUUUUCCGAAAAAAGGGAGGAAAUUUAGAGCCGAAUACAAACCUCAACGGCUUUCUUGAGCAGAAUAUCAUCCGCGGGAAUCCACUGAGAGAACGGAGCGAGAGCACCCAUGGUGUCCGCCACCUCCCUCUCUCUCUCUCUCUCUCUAGAGCGUGCUUGUUCACGGAAGCAUGGAAAAAGCUUGAAGAAAGGGGAAAUUACAAAAAUAGGCGGAGGGAAGAAGGCCUUCGUGGCGGCUGGAGGGGUUUUUGAGGGAAACACAACAUACAAGGAAAGGAUUUUACAGAGGUUCUGUGAAACGUGUACGGCGGCGAAUUGAGCGAUGGGGGCACGGCGCCGGGGUCUCAGGUGACUGAGAUAGGCGGGGUUUUAGGGGUUUAGUUGGGUGGGGCAUUAGGGCACGUGCCAACCCACUCAGUCGUCUCUCUCUCUCUCUCUCUCUCUCGUGUCGUGCAGGUGAGAGAGAGUAUCUCAGUGCUUACGGUUUACUGGGAAUUAAGGAAAAGGAUCGGUAGGGGUCUUAGAGAUCCCGUGAUUUCACAAGUUCAUCGUCAAUUGUGGGUUAAAAAAUUAUUUUAAAAUUUAAAAUUUAAAAAUAAACAUAAAUAUUAUUUAUUAAAAUUGCCCAAUAUACAAUAAACAGAAAAAAUUACGGAUUCCUAAGAAAAUCCUUUUACGGUUUACUGGACUUGUAACCGCGGACUCCUAUGCCCUUGGUUGACCAUUGACUCAAGAGUCCCUCCUCCAACGCUAAAGUAAGAUUUCUCCGUGUGACGGAAAAACAGUCCGAUACACAAGUGUUAUAAUACAAUUUGUUAAAUUUUGUAUUUUCAGUAUUCAAUUAUUUAUAUAUUGACAUUUUGUCCAUCUAUCGUGUUCUCGGCAAACUAAGAAUUUUUUCAGCACUAAGAAGUGUCCUUUCUUUUUUAUACAAUAAAAAAUAUAGGUUUUUUUUUUUUUUUUUUGAUUUGAAAGAUUUUCCAAUAUUCACAUGUUUAAAGAAAUAGAAGACCACACUGUACCGUUUUCUAAUAAAUGUUAAACUUAUUUGUAUUGGGGCGUUUUACUCCUGGUCGAGAGAUGGUAUAAUAUAGUCUCUUAGCAUAACAAUAAAUUUGUGCACUAAAUUUUAAGUGUUGACACAUUGUUGCGUGGACGGCAAACAAAUUUGGUGAGUCAAUUUUUGUGACUGUAAUCUUUUUUAUAUUUUAUGAGGUGAGAAAAGGAAUGUCUUUUGGUAUAAGAAAGAAUAAUGGUGAAGUGACCAAAUUUGUUACCAAAAGCUAUGAUGGAGAAAAAGAAAGUUGUGAACUGAAAAAAGAAGUACAGCAAAUCCAGUAAGUUUCAAUUGUGUUGGGUGUCAACACUCCCAAAAAGGGCUUGUGGUGCUUUUCUUAUGAUUUAAGUUCAAUUUUACUUUUUGCUUCUUUCUUGAAAAUGACAGGGUUGUUAAUAGUGUUAUUUCGCGUUUAUUUAAGCUUUAAUACCUAAAAAAUUAAGAUCAGGUCAAAUACGGUAGCUAGUUAAUCUUAUACGCUCUUUUUUUUGUCUCUUUCCCAUUAUUUCAAUACCUAAAACAUUAAAAAUCAAAUCAACUAGGGCUACUCGGUCUAAGUUCAAAUUUUCUGCACCGAAAGCCCUUUGUGGCUUAUUUGUGAUUUAUUUAUUGAACUAACAUGCAUUCUUUUGACUUAAUUUAUCCUUAGUGUGGUUUUUUUAUUAAGGAGAUAAGUAGUGCAGAAGAUUUGAACAUGGUCUCAAUACCCAUUCUUUCUUACAUUUUUUAUUUAUUUAUAAAUUUCUCAAUUAAAUAAACAAGCAUAUUAAUCUUGAAUUCCUCUCAAAAAGGAAGAGAAAAAGGAAAUUGAAUCCACCAAACAUGAUUUACGUGGACCGUCAUGUUCAGAAGAAGUUUAAGAGGCCCUGUGUUAUAUUACAUUACCCGAAUUUCAUGGCUAAUCUGCUAAAAAUGGCGGUUACAUAAUGGGCCUCGACAACGGAGGCAAUGGCCCAAGUGGUUCAUUGGGCUACGUCCUUACACUAACUGACCCGAGCUUAACAUGCUUUGAUGGGUCUAUUGUCGUUUCCUAUAACAGAAAAUCCCUAAGGAAAUGGAACCAGAUCUCUUCCUCCUAAUCCAUUAAAUCAAUAAAUUCGUGCUAUUAAAGUUUGAUUAAACGGUUAUAAAUAGGAGCUCAUUUUAAAAGUUAUAAUAAGUUCAACCAUUGGAUCAAAUUUUAAUAAUACGGAUUCUCUAAUUUGAUGGAUUAAGAGUAAAGAAUAUGGAGAUGAUACCUUUCCAAAGGAAAUACAAAAGAAUUUCAUCUGAAACGAAUAAAUGCAUCACACAAAUUUCAAAUCCACAAACAAGAUUUUAAGAUUAACCAAUUUUUUUGCAAAAUUACUCGCAAAACCACAGAAACCACUGCAGUUAAUGGCCAAUUUCCAAACUCCACAUGCAAUUACUUUCUGUUAACACAUUAUCUCAUAUCGUAUGAAAUUAAAUUAAUUCGUUGGUAAAAAAAAUUAAAAUUAUAUAAAAUCAACGCACCUGAGUGGCGUAUGUUCGUUGGAACAGGCUAUUUUCCGCAUUGAGCUACAAAAACAAAAAUUCCAAAAAAUGAGCUGAAAGUUGAAAAUAAAAUUUUGAAAAGAGUGAGUGCAACGAUUACGUCUUUGAAUUGAAAGAGGCUGAGAUUGCCGACGUAGGAGAUGGCGUGGCGAGACGACUCGAUCGGAAUGAUGAGUUGCACCAACUGCAUUGGCUAUGACCGCAGCAAAUCCAUCAUUGGACAACAACGACAUCCUCCUCCCGCCGCUUCCGUCGUCCCCAUCUUCCCGACAUAUUUUCACAAAUCUAUUUUUCUCUCCGAUUUCAUCCUGGUUUGGUACUGAGGUGUUUCUGAAAAAAAAAUGGGUUAAAAUAAAAAAGUUAUGUUUGGUAAAUAUUUAACUUCAUCUUUUUUCUUCUUCACAGUUUUGGGUGGAAAAAUUGUGAAAAAAAAGAAGCCAAAACACAAAGCUGCAAAACCCAACUUUGAAAAACCAACUUUUUUUGCUUCCCUAGCUUCUGCGCAAACCGAUUUCGCAAGAAGCGCUGAGGCCUUUAAUGAAAAUUUCCAUUACCCAAAAUGGCCUUUAGCAAUUAAAUAAAUUAUACAUUAUACCCGUCGACUUCAUCGCCGACCCUGCCACAUCUCUCUUCCGUCUUCUUUGACUUUGAGCUUCUUCGGAUUUCUGGGACAAGAGCGGCUAGAGGUUUGUUGGAUUUCUGGGUUUUGUCAAAAUUCGGGGCCUUUUCGUCGGAUUUAUGGGCUUCGUCAAAAUCUAGGUUGCACAAAGAAUGCUAGAUUUGCACCAUUCUGCUUGACACCCAAAAUCUCAACGGGAAAGCCUUAACGCCUACGCUGCUAACUAACACCAACGGUAAGUCUUGAAAUCAGAGUUCAUCCAUCUUCUGCGAGUGAAGACGAAAGGCCACUUGGGUUGGACCCAGAAUGAGCUGAGGACAUGCUGAAAGCUCCAAAACAAGGGCGGCGAGUGGAAGACGACCAAGUGGUGGUAGUUGUGGGCAAUAAUGAUGACGAUGAAGCCUCUAACAUGGAGGGAACUCUCACACAACUUCUCCCAAAUCUCUAUCAAAAGAGCAGGGAUUGUGUUCGAGGGAUUACGAUUGGUGUUGCUGCGGUGGUGGUCUUCGAUAAGGCAAUGGAAUUUUUCGGCGACCCAGCCUUCCUUAGGAUAUGGCAGAGAGAGACAGAGAGAUAAGGAUGAGAGAGGGAGUGGGCGGCGGAAGAGGAAAGAGAAUACAGGUUUUGCAAAAUAGGAGAACCGAACCUUGAAGAUAAAAAAUUAUGAUUCCAUAAUAAAAGAAAAGAUAAAGAGUAAUAGUUGUACAGUAAAUAGAUGUUGGAUUAUAUGUUGAAUGUUGGAUUAUGAUUUCUUGUUAAACGUUGUAUUAUAUAUUUAAGAUAAAAUUUAUAAAUAUUUUUAUUUUAAAAAUAAAGUAUAUUUAGUAAUCCAUCUUUAUUUGUUAAGAAAUUAAAUUAAUGGCACUUCCUUUUUGGUCAUUUCACAUAGUCACAAUUGUGUUACAUAAAAGUUUACUAAACACUAUAAUAUUGUUUUUUUUUUUUCUUCCAAAAGCACUUUUACAAAAAAGUUUACGAAACACUCUAUUAUUUUAUGUCACAACUGCUUAUUCUCACAUCACAACAUUUUUUUUCAAAGCACAGCAAUACCAAACCAGCCCUUCAUCUAAUGUCAAACUUUUUCUUUUUCUUAUAUUUCCUUUUUUCAAACCUUUUACUUUACGUUGCGGCGUCGUUUUAACCUGACGUGGCAUGGGAGUUUGCUUAGGAUCACAUACGCGCGCAGCUGAAACGCAGCGUUUCAUGGAAAAUCAUUCGAAAUGCUUGAACAUACUAGUCCAAUCCAAUGGUUCUGUUGGAAUUGUCAACGUCGUAAUCACGUAGUUUUCCUCCCGCCUUUCGGAUCUGCAGAAACGAUUUACUCCGUUUCGUAUGGAUACGUUGAAUUGGGCCAUGAAUGUCGGGGCGGCCCAAAUUCAAUUAAAUGACUUAAAAACCUCUUCGAAAUGGGAUUUUCGCAUUAAUUCCAUUAGUAGGUCCAGGCCCACUACAGUUGGCUACACUUAUGAAUUUUAAUUAUUUUGGUGCUAUUUUGCCGAAGAAUAAAAGAUAUCCCGUUUCAACGCGAUUAGAUUUGGGCUUAGUCGAAUUGACUAAAAUAGUGAGCUUUUUUCUUUGACACAGGUGUAUGAAUUUUUUUUCUUAUUGUUUAGAUGAAUUUUGUGUCGAUUAUCUUAUUCUGAAACUAGGCUUUUACUAUCAGUUAAAAAAAAAAACCCAUUCCUCCCCAAAAAAUUUCUAUAAAAACAGAAAAAGAAAAAAAUAACAUAUUUUUAUGAUAUGUAGGAAAAGAGGCUUUAAAUUCAACCCAAAAGUCGAAAAAGGAAUUUCAUUAAACGUCUUAACAUAUAUUUAUUUGUAAUGCAUUACAAGAUAUAAAAACAGAAACUUCGAAAUGGUUGAUGCAAUACAUUUCAUUAACAUUUGUGUCCAGUAUUCGUAGUUUUUUAGUAGUGUGAUUGCAUUACAAUUUUGACAAUUGUUUGUCGCAAGUUACUAUUAAAGUUUUGAAGUCCUUCAUCCAAACAUGUAGAUAGGCGUAAAGUAAACAAUUUGGCUAGACUAGCAAAUCUCCGUUUGCGUGAAAUUGAGUUUCGUUCCCCAUAAUUUAGAUCAAAUUAAGUCAUCUCAUUUUGUUAGAAAAUAAAAUGAUAAAUACACUUCUUUUGUCAUCUCAUUCACCAUUGUUUAAUACUAUUCGUUGUUUUCAAUGACCGGAAACAAAUAGAGAUGUGUGAUAAGUUAAAAGACGUGUGUGAAAAUUAUUAAAAAGCCAAAACUGAUGUUUUCAUUUAGCCCCCUAAGUAGAUUUACAAAAAAGUAAGUGGUGGAUUGCUCGAUGGCCUUAUUCUUCAAUUCACUACGUGCCGAAAUUAAAACAUUAUCGCUACUAAAUCAACGUGGAAUAUAAUUUGUAUUAAAGUAGAUUUAUAGAAAUAGUACAUAAAUGCAAAAACGAAAGUAGUAUGCCUUGAAGUCAGGGCCGGCCGGAUUGAGGAUCAUAUCAUGGCAGACAUUAUGGCCUUCUUUAAACAAGGACAAUCACAAGGAUUAGCAGUAGGACCGCAAAUACAUAUGCAGAUUACAGAUAUAUAUAUAUAUAUAUUUAUAUAUAUAUAUAUACACAUAUAUACUCACAGUCACACAGUGACUGCAACAGAAACCCUAGCAGUAGCAGUUAUAUAUAUGUAGGCAGUAGCAGACGCGGAUGAUACAUUUUGGACCACGUUUUAGCUAAACAGCAGUUCGCAUGCGGCCUGGCCGCAACCUACUCUCUAAACGCUCCGCCUAGCCCUGCACACUCUGUAUCUAUGUAUAUAAUCAAUAAUAUAUGUAUAUUAGUAUGAGGAUACGAAGGUAAAAGAAUUCUAAAUCGGUGAAAAGAUAAACUUUGUAAAAGUCUUAUAACUUAUAAGAGAUUAACUACUUUUCAUACUGUUAAUUAGUUUUCCAGUGAAACUUUAACUGAAUUAGACGAAAUAAUAAACCCUAGCCAGCUACAUUUAUAAUACUUGAUCUCAUAAAUACUGCUAGCCUGCUAGGGUUUUCUCCAUCCACCUAUAAGGAUAUGGAGGAGAUGGAGGGAUGAACUCCAUGCGCACACGGCGGAGAGCUACAACUCGAUAUCAUGCCCAUUUCGUGUCCCCUAGCUACAAUGUGAUCACACUUGCUUUUAUGAUUUUUUACAACCCUUUUCGGGAUCCUUGUUUGCUUUAAUCCACUGUGCGUUAAUCUGUAUUUAUAUAAUAACCCCCUCAACAUAUUGCAGUUUAUUGGGCUUAAACACAGGUUAACUCUAUAAUAUUCCAUUAGGUUUGUUAAUUACUUAACUCGAUGGGCCGAGAAGUAAUUUUGGUAAGUUUCCAAAAGUAAUGUUCUCGCAUCUUAAUUUGUACUCAAACUUGACUCCCUUUUCUUAUGUUGUAUAUAUAAUACCUCAUAUUUAGAGUAGAAUUAUCUCUCAUCCUAAUCUUUAUUUCUUCAUUAUCUUCCUAUUUGAACCUAUACGAUUAAGUUACGUCAAUAUCUUUUACUAAUUUUUUUAUAAAAAAAGAAGACAAAAGGCAAAUUAUGAGAGGAAACGAGGAAAAAAAAAAAAAGUAGAGACCACACAUCCAGUGGUUACUAUUACUAACUGACUCGUGAUCUGAUAAUUUUGAGCACAAAGCCAGAAAAUAAGGGUGAUUGAUUGCAUAUAUUGUAGCAGUAGUGCAGUUUUAGGUCAAUAAAGUCGUGAAAGAAAGACACCCGGAGAAUUCGAAUGACAAAGUAAUUAGCAGUACGAAUAAGUCAUUGAUCAAAGUUACUUAGUAUUACGUUAUAGUGAUAUUUCUUUUCACUCGUAAGUUAGAGGUCAUAGAUUCGAUUCUCGCUAAAGGUGAAUUUGAACUACAUUAUUGCUAGUCUAUUAUGAGGCUAAACACACCCCAUUUUCAUUAAUGUAAACAAUAUCGAUUGUUAAAAUAAAAAAAAUAAAAAAAAAGUCCUUGAUCAAACCUUCAUUCAACUUCUGUGGGUCUACACAAAUACUGUUUAUUUGAUCAAUAUUCAUGUGUCAAUGUUUUCAAGUACAAUUAUUUUCGGUGAUCUUGAAAACGACAUAACACAGCCACAGAGGAAGUUCCAAAUACUAGAUUAGUACAUUAGUUUAGAUGAUCGUGAUAUCUGUUUUGGGGGGUAAUUAAGUAUUCUCAAAUUGUUUUGGCCGUGGGAAAGGUAGACUGUUGUAACAGUGAAACGACUUAGCACAUGUUCAAACUAACCCUUUUGUAUAAAUCUGAACUUAGCCAAGUUGAUUUGAACAACAUGCUCUUUCUUGAAAUCAUCAUCUUGUAAGUAAGAUAAGUUUAACGUAGAAUAUAUCGGUUAAACAAAGAUAAUCAUUGAACCGUUCUUAUUCUUCAACGGCUAGCUGUUAACGUACACACAGAUAGAGGGAUGUAGGAUGAUUUUAUAAGGCUACCCACCAUUUUUUUAUAAAUUCGGAAAUUAAAAAUAUUGACAUACGAGAGAUUUGGGAGGUCAAAUCAUAGAUAUUUCCUUCAACGGUUGUUUGACUGUGAGCAUUUCAACAUAUGUAUAUGUGUGUGUGAUAUAUAAAUACAUGAAAGAACCCUUCUUUCUCCUCAUUUUGCUGAGCUAAAUUAUGACCGGUCAAAUGCUAAACAGGAGGGGUCAACAGCUAAGGUUCAUCUUUUUCUUGAUGCAGAAAGUGAGACACUGCUAGGUUAAACUAGUUCUAGGGUUUACAGAGAUGAUUUUCAAAAAAAAUUUAAUCAUUAAAUUAUAGUAAAAAAUAAAUAAUUAAGAUUUAACGGUUAAAAAUCUCGAAAGUAUUCAUCGUAUAAUUUUUAGUAUCAAUACAAAUCUAACUUUUUUCUACGUUGUCAUAGAUACAAAGAGGCAACAUCCGCAGAACCAGACAAUUGCAAGGGAACCUUUCCACACCAUAAUAUUGUACUCAUAAAAAUCCUACUUCCUUUUUUUUAAGUGAUCUCCCACUCCCCCUUGUCCUCAUGCACUCCAUCAAUUGUUUCUAUUCGUUGAUUUUGUUUUGAUUGACUCAAUUCCGAGACUAGAAAAAGAGAAAAGCGCAUGAAGAUAAAAAAAAAAAUGUGAAAAUCACUUCUAGUUAUUUUGUUAUACACAAGCGAUAUUCAUUUGAAAACUCAUCUAAACUGUAAGUGAGAGGAUUCCAGGAGAAAGCACAUCGUUUUUAGCCGUUGCACCUACGCCCACAUCUACUUUGUACUUCCCCCUUCAAUAAUUAAGAAUAUUUGUUUUCUUUAUCAUGACCUCUAAACGUUACCAAUUAUAUAUGCAUGCUUAGAGGUGACAAAUCAACCAAUUGAAUUCUUAAUGGGUACUCGUUAAUAUCUGUUUAAUUUGAUAUCACCGUAAUAUAGAAAUGAGAUUGGUAGUAGUGAUAAUGGUGUAAUGUGAAAUCAUAACAAAUGAAUAAUGGUUCAUGAAUAAAAAAAUCAUAAACAAAUGAAUACGUAACAAAAUGUAUGUAUAUAUAGAACAAGAUUACUGUUUUAUCCGACGGUGGAGGAUGAGGUUGCACAUGUUAGGGUCAGAGAAAUUAUACAAAACUAAGGAAGUUUGGGAAGCUUUAUGUUUC
This 46441-nucleotide long non-coding RNA is filed under the name Malus domestica (apple). RNAcentral's name for it is "long non-coding RNA (MDOM_LNC014429)". The record is from RNAcentral. Lineage: Eukaryota; Viridiplantae; Streptophyta; Magnoliopsida; Rosales; Rosaceae.